AUUAUGAAUUGAAGAACCUGGAGAAUGAUGAAGAACGAACCAGUUGCUGCAAAAGUAUAAUGUUGAGGAAGAUCCGACAGAUCCGGCUCCUCCUCCGCUCUCCUCUUCUCUCUCCCUAUUUUCUAGAUUACAACUAGAACUAACUAGAACUAGAACUAGAGGAACUAGAACUAGAACUAGAUGAACUAGAACUAGAUCUAGAUGAACUAGAGGUAGAACUAGAAGAACUAGAGGGAUCCUCUCUACUUGGAUGAAGAAUUGAAACCCUAACUUUGAUUCUGUAGAAGAGGUAUGAUCUCCAGGGGCCAAGAGGGUCUGGUUUUAUAGUCCCUUCAAGUGAAUCUGGGACGUCGGAUCAAAACGACAUUGAUCUUGUGGUUUUCCUUGAAGUAUUAGGUCGGUGGAGUGUUGUCCCCGAAUUGGACUCUGUUUGGUCCAGGGGGGAGGGCGGGCGCCCAGUGCCCGGCUCCGUUACGUCUCCCGUUCGUUCCCAUGGCUUCUGGUGUCUUCUAGAUGGUAGAAAAUUGUGUGGCACGUUAAUAUCUCUAUGUAAACCUGACGUGUGGGCCUUUCUUUCGUAUUUCUUGAUAACCCCCUGCAGAAAUAGACAAACACCAAAACUUGUGGAAUUCUGUCAGAUAAAACCCUAAGUCUAGGUGUUUGUUGUAUUUGGAUCCUUUUCUAUGAUUAAUUGAUGGUUAAAUGUGAGCAUUAAGGACCGUCAACAAGCUCCCCCAAGCUUAACCUUUGCUCGUCCCUGAGCAAAGAUGAACUCAAGAGUUUCUGCAGUGGUUUCAUAACUUAAAGAUACACAUGCGUUUAAACAAGAUCUCAUCUCUGGUUAGAGUAAACUGUUAAGACUUAAAACUUACUCAUUUACCUUUCACCAUGGGACUUGUAACCGUCACUUCUGUCUUGAGUAGUUAAAAGAUAGAACAGUCUAGUCAAGCACCAUGUCUCUUGUUCUUCGAUUAACUAUAGCUCUGGAGUUUUUGCAGAUUUUCAAAUAAAACUCAGAGAUUCCUUGUAUGACCCUCUCUAGUCUCUCAUUUGUGGUAUUUCUGGAUCCUUACCAAGGCAGUAAUGCUGUAUGCCUUCUCUCAAAGUAUGUGGUAUUUUUGGUAUGGGGCAUAGUGGCAUUGCCUUCUCUCUCACCCUACUCUAAUAAGGUUUUGAUAUCUGGAGCUCAUAGGUGGGAGAUAGCUAAUACAUACUUACAAGACAUUUAUUGCAUAGUCAAACCAUGGAUCCAGAAGAACAAGUCAAUAAGUCAAAUCAAGAUGUGAAUGUGUGGCGAAUGAAUGGUGUAUGGUAAUGAUGGUGAUAACAAUGGUGAAAACAAUGGUGAAAGUCUAAUUCUACUUGUGCUCUUUUGAGGGGAUACAUACCUUUCUUGCUCUUUUGAAACUUUUUGAGGAGAAUGAGAUGCUCUAUAUUUUCUUUCUUUUCUCUCAGGUGGGUAUUUUGUACCCCUAAUUCUACUGUCGGACACUUGUCCAUUUUUACCUCUCGUCUCACUUUUUUUUCUUUUCUUUCGAGGUUCCGGGCACUUGCCCCUUUUUAUUUCCUCGUAUAUAUAUUUUUUUUCUCUUUUUUUUCUUUUUUUAAGAGCACUCAUCUCAUGAGAUAAUAUAGCAAGUGGUAAUGCAAAAAUGUUUUUGUCUAUUCUCUCCCGGAUUAGGAGUAGAAUAUUUUUAGGUGAUUCUGGAGAUGGAAAUGGGUGGAUAUAUGUGGAUGCGUACUUCCGGAGUAGAAGCAGCAUGUAUGAGUGAACGUGCAAGUGAAUCUUGAUUUAACCACAUGACAAGCUUCUAAGGGUCUACACAGCUUGACCACACUCAAUGCUCAUAAGUAGUAAAGUAAAUGUGUGGUUCAUAGUCUAGGAAGCAUGUAUAUACGGCUGUGGUAGGAAUUUAAACUCUCAUCAUACAGGAACUCAUCAUGCAACAUUUUAAAGAUUUUCAAAGAUAAAGUUCUCCAGAAUUCUAGCAUCUCUAGGAACAGAUAAAUAGCACCUCAACCUUCCCAUAUCAUAUCCGUUAACGACUUAGACUUUAGGUCAAGUACUCUCCCCACAAGUUCUGGUUUAGAGCAAAUCUUAAUUAAUAACAGUCAUGCCUAAACUUAAGAGAGAUUUCAAUUUUGAGAACUAAUCAUGGCAGAGCAACUACUCAUCAUAUCCAUGUGAGAGCUUAUCAUGAGGGUUCAUAGCAAACUUUAUUUAUUUAUUUAUUUAUUUAUUUAUUUAGCAAACUAAGCAAAGAUAUAUAUGUAUAAGCACAAAAUCUUUAUUUGGGUUUUUAUGAUCAUGCAUCUUUUUAUUAUUUGAGUAAAGUAUAAACGUGAGUAAAAUACUUAGCUGGAUAAAUGGGGGUGCUCUCCCCCAAGCUGGAUUUUGACGCAAUUUCUUCUGAUGUAGCUAGCAGGUGGCGGGGGUGUAAUUGAAUGUCGACAGCACCCUGACAGCGAUUAUGAUGUCCUCCGUCUGCUAGUCUUCUUUGAUCCUUGAAUUCUGUGGAGCUCAAAUAGAUAACAAAGCUUUGUGGAACUAGUUAAGUGUUAGCAUAAAUAUCUAGCCUUUAUCAUGUUGAGCCUCCUCAAUAAAUGUUACUCUUUUUAAUAGGAUUAUAAAUCUAUUUUUAUAUUUUAAUUUUUUUAUAGGACAGGAAUAUAUAUUUAUUUUAUUUUUAUGCCACCACAGUGAAUGUACUUAUGGGUUUUAUGCCAUGAGCAUACUCACAUGGGGCUUACUUAACAUUUUUAUUUCUUUUUAAGAUGAUAUGAACCUGAUUAACUAAGCAAACUAUUUUAAAUAAUUGAAGGGAAACGGAUAACUACCAAGUUUACUUCUUGACAAGGCGUUCGGUGUUUUUAAGUCAUCCGAACGGGACUCUCCAUAUUCUCAGUCAUCCUGGGAUUCGCUGGAUGGCGUAGUCGGUGGUCCCGGCGGCGCUUGGUCUUCAUGUAUAACUAUCUUCUCUCUACACACCUGACUCGGUGCUACGGUCUCCUUAGGAUAAUUCUGUUUAAGUUGUAUGUCUUCAGACUGUACUACUUCCCCUUCGUAGUCUGCCCAUCCAUCCUUGAUGAUUUGCCUCCUCUGGUUGCGGUUGCGUCAUCUUCUUCUUGUCCUGACCUGCUUAGAGUCUUUAACUAUAUAGUUAAGGUCAGUAAAAUAGUGGCAUACCUUCUCAGAGGGGAAGUGCAUGUGGACUUCUCCGGUUCCAAUGUAGAUGAUUGCUUUAACAGUGCUGAGAAACGGUCUUCCAAGGAUGAUGGGUGUAUCGUACUUGUCUUCUCCCAUGUCAAUAACCUGAAAGUCUCUCGGAAUGUCUGAUCUGCUAUCUGGAGCUGAAUGUAUGUUGGUUUUAGGGGCAUGGUUCCGAAUAGGAGCUGAUAGGUGACUGCGGCCAUUACGUUGACGUCAGAUCCGGUGUCGUAGAGUGUCUUCUGAAAAUAAUAUCCGUUGAUUGUGCACUCGAUGCUUGGAACACCAGGGUCGUCCUUCUUGGUCAGGAAUGGUGACUUGAGUUGACGAUCUUGACCUUCUUGAGCUGCAGUGACCAUCUUAGUUGACUCAGUCCACAUUUGCUUGUUUUUGUUCCUCCUGUUGGUCCUCUUCCUUGGUUCAUGUCGGGAAUGCUUUGAGAUUUGUGUAGUCUUAUUCUUGAAGGAAAAACGUCUCCUUCCUCCCCUUGAUGUAGAAACUGAUCUUUGCAGCACUAGCGUAGAUGAUAGCUCGAGAGGUGUUCAGGAAUGGCCUCCCUAGGAUGAUGGGUGCCCUCUCAUCAGUACCAGUCUCUAUCACCACGAAGUCUGCUGGGGCGUACAAGGUACCAACUCAGACGCAGAGGUUCCUGGGCAUAAUGUUGACGCUGGAGCCAAAGUCGCAGAGUGCUUCUAGAAAGUCCACCAUGCCGAUGGAGAUCGGGAUGACGGGGCAUCCUGGAUUGUCUCUCUUGACCGGCAGAAGGUCAGUAAUUACUUCCACAACAGGGUUACUCCAGUAGUUAUGUCCUCAAGCAUCUUAGGGCAGUGAUUGCCUGAGUGUCCAGUAUCUCCAGUGUGUUUGUGCUCGUAGAUCUAGGUUCUUCACUUGGUGGAGUCUGGGAGUUGUAAAAGUCCUUCUUAUUUUGCUUCAAGAGUACCUGCUCAUAGAGACAAGGCAGAGACCAAGUGCAUGGGCCCUAUUGGUGGAAAACACCAACAGAACCAAAAGUGUAUUUGUUCUUCUCUAACCUUAAGCAUAGUGAGCAAGACAAAGUUGAUGGAUAAUAAGAUCAUGAGUGUAGCAUUUAAAACAUUCGUCAGAUCAGAUCACUCAACCUAAUGGAAAGAUAAUCUAUCUAUACUUAUGUUUUUAUAUAUAUAUAUUUUCCAAAGAUUGAGUGUGCAACAUUUUAGCUCAUAAUAUUAGGAGUGUGGGAUCACAAAGGUAGAAGGACUAAACAUAUUGGAUCGAUUGGGUUGGUUAAUCUAGAGUUGUUAAUCAUACAUGUUUGUCUCUUUUAUUCAUGUGAACGUCAAAACCAAGGAGAAGCUUAUAAAAGUGAUAGUCAAGUACCUUAAGAUGUUACCUUAAUUGAAGAGUGAUGGUACAGUAUCACCUAUUGGAAGCUUUCCUUUCUUAGCGGUUGUGCAUCGUGUUUGUAGCACACUCCAUGGAUCAUCACUUGUGAGCUAUGCCUUCCUUGUGUAAAUUGUUAAACUUCAUGUGCCUCUCUCUUUGUCUCCAAUGUGAGUUUAUCUCAGGACUUCCCAGGUCGAUAUUGAAAGUUUUCCUACAGGGGUUAGUCCAACGAAAUAUCCAAUAUCUACUAUAGCAUACUAUCGGUUCAAAAAUCAACCUAGACACCAUGUCUAAUUUGAUUUAGGAGGGUAUUUUAACCUAAGCACCAUGCUUAAUCUAAAAUCCCUUGGAAGUAAGAUCAUCAUUCCUAGCUAAGCACCAUGCUUAAUUAAGAGAUAAAUGAAACUACUCCAAACCUAGACAUAUACUGAAGCAAAUAAAGGUAGCAUGAGAGCAUUUAUAGAGAUCUACUCAAGUGGAGAUGAAGUAGUAUGAUUAGUAUUUAACAAAUUGAGCAUGUCUCAAAGGUAGAGACAACCAACAUAGCAACAUGGCAAAUAAUGUUUUUAUGUAAAGUACUCCCCCAAGCUUGAAUUUUGCAAAAUUCAAGUUUGGAUGAAUUUAAUUCAAUGUUGUAUGAUGAUUGGUUGGACAUACCUUGUGCUUGUCAUUCAUCCGAUCUUCUUGCUCCAAUCCUAGAAAGGUUAGUGACAAGAAUACCCGAAGGAAUAUUUUUACAAUUAUCUUUAUAUGCUCAACACACAAGGUAAUGUUGCAAAUAAUUAAAAGCUCAUGUUAUGAUCUAAUCAGUGCUUGUUUUAGGACACUAAGCUUGUCCUUGGGAAACCAUCAAUUUAUGUCAGUGAAGUGGUUUCCCCUCCAACGCUGACCUAUAUCAAGAUCAACUCAACGAGAUCUGCAAUAUUUAAUAUAGACAUAUGCAUCGACAACCACCCUUUUAAAGUUUUUAUAAAUAGAAAGGAAGUGGGGGUUGGAGAUCUCGAAUGUGGUGAUGUUGGAGAGACCAAUGGAUUGUGAAGAUGUUGCAUAUGAGCAUGGAGUAAAUGAAGUGGCUAUGAAAUAAAUUGCAUGCUCAUUAAUGCUAAGAGUGAAAUCCAUGUGGUACGGUGAAAAUGGUAAGGUGAGUGUGGUAAAAAAAAAGGAAAAGAAAAAGGAUACACGGACGACUUGGUUCGAAACUAGCACAGCUACCGUUCUCCGGCAACGGUGCCAGAAAGCUUGUUGGGUAUUUUAAACGCAAACAGAAAAAUCCGCAAGCGCACGGAUACCGAUGUAGCCUUCACCCGGGAGUAUUCCAGAGUAUCGAUUUUCCACAGAGAACGUGAGUGUACUAAUUAAGAUCCAAGAUCGCCCAAGGAUAACUAUAUAAUUAUUUUUGGUGGGAAGAGAGGAAGUUUCCUGAGAGUUCUCUAGUUGAUCUAAGAAUCAAGAAUUACUUCAAGAUUAUCUAUUUCGGGAUAUCAGAGCACUAACCACAGAAAGAGAUGAGAAGGGGGUUAGGAAGGUCUGACUACGGUCCUACAAACAACGAUCCGAACGUGGUGGAAUACGUCGACCGUUAGGGCUGUCACUACCCUAAGGCUACCACAACAAUCCGCAGGAUUGGGUGCAAUUCCAGGUAAUUGCAAGACUAAACACCACGUCUAAUCUAUUAAUUACUACUCUAGCGCUAUAAAGACUAGAGCACUUGAUGCAAGCGGGAAUCCAAUAAAUAACUUGAAUGUAAAUAAAAGUAAUUAAAGAACUCAAGAAUUAUGAAUUGAAGAACCUGGAGAAUGAUGAAGAACGAACCAGUUGCUGCAAAAGUAUAAUGUUGAGGAAGAUCCAACAGAUCCGGCUCCUCCUCCGCUCUCCUCUUCUCUCUCCCUAUUUUCUAGAUUACAACUAGAACUAACUAGAACUAGAACUAGAACUAGAACUAGAGGAACUAGAACUAGAACUAGAUGAACUAGAACUAGAUCUAGAUGAACUAGAGGUAGAACUAGAAGAACUAGGGGGAUCCUCUCUACUUGGAUGAAGAAUUGAAACCCUAACUUUGAUUCUGUAGAAGAGGUAUGAUCUCUAGGGGCCAGGGGGGUCUGGUUUUAUAGUCCCUUCAAGUGAAUCUGGGUCGUCGGAUCAAACCGACAUUGAUCGUGUGGUUUUCCUUGAAGUAUUAGGUCGGUGGAGUGUUGUCCCCGAAUUGGACUCUGUUUGGUCUAGGGGGGAGGGCGGGCGCCCAGUAAGGGAGGGCGGGCGCCCAGUGCCCGGCUCCGUUACGUCUCCCGUUCGUUCCUGUGGCUUCUGGAGUCUUCUAGAUGGUAGAAAAUUGUGCGGCACGUUAAUAUCUCUAUGUAAACCCGACGUGUGGGCCUUUCUUUCGUAUUUCUUGAUAACCCCCUGCAGAAAUAGACAAACACCAAAACUUGUGGAAUUCUGUCAGAUAAAACCCUAAGUCUAGGUGUUUGUUACAUUUGGAUCCUUUUCUAUGAUUAGUUGAUGGUUAAAUGUGAGCAUUAAGGACCGACAGGGGAGUUGUUGACGGUCCUUAAGUACCAAAUUUAAUUAUCAAAUAAACAAAGAAAAGGAUCCAAAUGCAACCAACACCCAGAAUUAGGGUUUUAUCUGACAGAACUCCACAAGUUAAGUUUUGGUGUUUGUCUAUUUCUGCAGGGGGUUAUCAGGAAAUAUGGAGGAAAGGCCCACACUUUGGGUUUACGUAGAGAUAUUAACGUGCCCCGUAAUUUUCUAUCAUCUAGAAGACUCCAGAAGCCACGAGAACGAACGGGAGGCCGAGCGGGCCCGGGGGCAGGGCGCCCGCCCUCCCCACUUGGGCGCCGGCCCAGCUCUGGCAACCAAUCACGUUCAACUUCGCGGAUUAUGCUCCACCGACCUAAAGGAUCAAAGAGAACCGUUCAAUCAAUGUCGGUUUGAUCCGACGACCCAGAUUCACUUGAGGGGACUAUAUAAGCAGCCCCCUGGCCCCUGGAGGAGGCAAACCCCUUCAUCCUUAUUUAUUAUUCAUAGACAGAGCAAAAGCUAGGGUUUGGAGAUGAGAGCUCUCCUCUCAUCUCUAAACUAGAGUAGAUCUAGAUAGUAGCGAGAUGGAGAGCGAGGGAGGAUUGGAUGAGAGGCUGGCCUGUCGGUUCUUCCUCCGGUUGUACUUCGCCAUAAUCAAGCUCUAAUCAAGCUUGCUCAUGGGAUGACUCUGGUAAUCUACUUCUAUUUCAUUAUGCAAUUACUAUCCAUGUAUGUUCUGGUUCACAACUCUUUUGAGAACUUUAAUCUACAGUACGCUAUAGGUGAGAGUUGUAGUAUAGGUGUAAGCAUGGUGCUUAGACCUAGAUUACUUGUGGAUAUCGUCUGUCUAGCCGGAUCGUGUGGUAGGCCGCGUAGGUGACAGUUACGUUGGUCCCCUGUAGUCCACCUCCCGUUAGUAGGACUGGUAGGGUUUAUCGGCCUAUGGAUAAGCAUCCUUUAUGGUGUAUUCUUAUCACGUGGUGCGCCCCAGACAUAGACAUACCCCUUUGAAGUAGAGAAACCAUAGUUAUCCUCUCUAUUCUCCUACCAUCGCCCAUAUAUUAGAUUGCUCUACUCUCUAUUCUCAUAUUAUCACCCAUUGUUAUCUUACCUUUAAUAUUGUUCUUAUUCAAUUCUACCAUCUUUCCUAUUUACACCUACUUAUCUAUCUAGGUUGAGUUAGAGCAUAGAUCAGUUCUCCCGUUUCCCUGUGGAUACGAUAAAACCUUUAACCGGGUAAAAGCUACAAUGGUAUCCAUGCGCUUGCGGAUUUAUUUGUGUGCGUAUAAAUACCAUAGUACACUCUAGUGCCAUGCUGGGGAUGACAACCUAGUAUUCAAGUGGUGUUAGCAAGUGUCAACACUAGCAUGCCCCUUCUUCAUGGUGCUCUCAUCAUCACUUGAGGAGUCAUCACUAUCCCAAGUUGCAACAUGGGCAUCACCCUUCUUCUUGUUUGAGCCUUCCUUCUUUUCUUGCUUCUUCUUUUGCUUCUUUCUUUCCUUCUUGAUAGCAUGUUCAUCAUCACUAUCAUAGGGACACUUGGCGAUGAGAUGAUCCUUGCUAUGGCAUCUAAAGCACCUCAUGGAAUGGUCAUUCUUCUUGGAGGAGCUUUUCUUCCUUCUUGCCCGAUAGCCCUUCUUCAUAAACUUGCUAAAUCUCUUGACAAGUAGAGCCAUCUCCUCAUCUUCAUCACUAUCACAAGAGCUUGCUUCUUCUUCACUUGAUGAUUCUAUCUUGGCUUUGCCCUUGGACGAGGAGGUCCUGAAUGCCACACUUUUCUUCUUCUCAUCAUCCUUCUUCCACCAUACUUCUUCCUUUUCUUGAUCAACUCAUCCUUCUCAUCAUCUUCUCUAUAAGCAUCAUCGGUCAUCACUUCUUGGAAUACUUGUUGGGGAGUUGAUUCACUAAGAGUUGUCUUGACUAGUACGAUGAUCAAUGUGUCAAAUCUCUUGGGCAAGCUUCUCAAGAACUUCAUAGAGAAUUGACUAUCUUUUACUUCUACCCCAAGUGCCUUGAGUUCAUUCACUAUGACUUGCGACCGGUGAAACAUCUCCAACACACUUUCAUCAUUCUUGCAUCUUGAAGCUUGAAAACUUUUCUUGGAGGAUUGUUGGGUAUUUUAAACGCAAACAGAAAAAAUCCGCAAGCGCACGGAUACCGAUGUAGCUUUCACCCGGGAGUAUUCCAGAGUAUCGAUUUUCCACAGAGAACGUGAGUGUACUAAUUAAGAUCCAGGAUCGCCCAAGGAUAACUAUAUAAUUAUUUUUGGUGGGAAGAGAGGAAGUUUCCUGAGAGUUCUCUAGUUGAUCUAAGAAACAAGAAUUACCUCAAGAUUAUCUAUAUCGGGACAUCAGAGCACUAACCACAGAAAGAGAUGAGAAGGGGGCUAGGAAGGUCUGACUACGGUCCUACAAACACCGAUCCGAACGUGGUGGAAUACGUCGACCGUUAGGGCUGUCACUAUCCUAAGGCUACCACAACAAUCCGCAGGAUUGGGUGCAAUUUUAGGUAAUUGCAAGACUAAACACCACGUCUAAUCUAUUAAUUACUACUCUAAUGUUUCAAAGAUUAGAGCACUUGAUGCAAGCGGGAAUCCAAUAAAUAACUUGAAUGUAAAUAAAAGUAAUUAGAGAACUCAGGAGUUAUGAGUUGAAGAACCUGGAGAACGAUGAAGAACGAACCAGUUGCUGCAAAAGUACAAUGUUGAGGAAGAUCCGACAGAUCCGGCUCCUCCUCCGCUCUCCUCUUCUCUCUCCCUAUUUUCUAGAUUACAACUAGAACUAACUAGAACUAGAACUAGAGGAACUAGAACUAGAUGAACUAGAACUAGAUCUAGAUGAACUAGAGAUAGAACUAGAAGAACUAGAGGGAUCCUCUCUACUUGGAUGAAGAAUUGAAACCCUAACUUUGAUUCUGUAGAAGAGGUAUGAUCUCCAGGGGCCAGGGGGGUCUGGUUUUAUAGUCCCUUCAAGUGAAUCUGAGCCGUUGGAUCAAACCGACAUUGAUUGAACGGUUAUCCUUGAUCCUUUAGGUCGGUGGAGCAAUAUCCCGAAAGAGAGUCCUGAUUGGACUCUGGUUGAGGGCGGGCGCCCAGGAUAGGAGGGCGGGCGCCCUGUCCCUGAGUCCUCUCGGCCUCCGCUUCGGUCCCGUGGCUUCUGGAGUCUUCUAGAUGAUAGAAAAUUGCGUGGCACGUUAAUAUCUCUAUGUAAACCUGACGUGUGGGCCUUUCCUCCGUAUUUCCUGAUAACCCCCUGCAGAAAUAGACAAACACCAAAACUUGUGGAAUUCUGUCAGAUAAAACCCUAAGUCUAGGUGUUGGUUGCAUUUGGAUCAUUUUCUCUGAUUAGUUGAUGGUUAAAUAUGAGCAUUAAGGACCGUCAACAAGCUCCCCCAAGCUUAACCUUUGCUCGUCCCUGAGCAAAGAUGAACUCAAGAGUUUCUGCAGUGGUUUCAUAACUUAAAGAUACACAUGUGUUUAAACAAGAUCUCAUCUCUGGUUAGAGUAAACUGUUAAGACUUAAAACUUACUCAUUUACCUUUCACCAUGGGACUUGUAACCGUCACUUCUGUCUUGAGUAGUUAAAAGAUAGAACAGUCUAGUCAAGCACCAUGUCUCUUGUUCUUCGAUUAACUAUAGCUCUGGAGUUUUUGCAGAUUUUCAAAUAAAACUCAGAGAUUCCUUGUAUGACUCUCUCUAGUCUCUCAUUUGUGGUAUUUCUGGAUCCUUACCAAGGCAUUAAUGGUGUAUGCCUUCUCUCAGAGUAUGUGGUAUUUUUUGUAUAAGGCAUAGUGACAUUGCCUUCUCUCUCACCCUACUCUAAUAAGGUUUUGAUAUCUGGAGCUCAUAGGUGGGAGCCAGCUAAUACAUACUUACAAGACAUUUAUUGCAUAGUCAAACCAUGGAUCCAAAAGAACAAGUCAAUAAGUCAAAUCAAGAUGUGCAUGUGUGGCGAAUGAAUGGUGUAUGGUGAUGAUAGUGAUAACAAUGGUGAAAGUCUAAUUCUACUUUUGCCCUUUUGAAGGGAUGCAUACCUUCCUUGCUCUUUUGAAACUUUUGGGGAGAAUGAGAUGCUCUAUAUUUUCUUUUUUUUCUCUCAGGUGGGUAUCUUGUACCCCUAAUUCUACUGUCGGACACUUGUCCAUUUUUACCUCUCGUCUCACUUUUUCUUUAAUUUCGAGGUUCCGGGCACUUGCCCUUUUUUAUUUCCUCGUAUUCUUUCUUUUUUUUCUCUUUUUUUAGAGCACUCAUCUCAUGAGAUAAUAUAGCAAGUGGUAGUAACAAGAUAACUUGAGCAUUUAUUUCACAGCGGAAAAACAGAAAUAUUUUUGGCUAUUCUCUCCCAGAUUAGGAGUAGAAUAUUUUUGGGUAGUUCUGGAGAUGGAAAUGGAUGGAUAUAUGUGGAUGCGUACUUCCGGAGUAGAAGCAGCAUGUAUGAGUGAACGUGCAAGUGAAUCUUGAUUUUAACCGCAUGACAAGCUCCUAAGGGUCUACACAGCUUGACCACACUCAAUGCUCAUAAGCAGUAAAAAGUAAAUGUGUGGCUCAAAGUCUAGCAAGCAUGUAUAUCUGGCUGUGGUAGGAAUUUAAACUCUCAUCAUACAGGAACUCAUCAUGCAACAUUUUAAAAAUUUUCAAAGAUAAAAUUCUCUAGAAUUCUAGCAUCUCUAAGAACAGAUAAACAGCAGCUCAACCUUCCCAUAUCAUAUCCGUUAACGACUUAGACUUCAGAUCAAGUACUCUUCCCACAAGUUCAGGUUUAGAGCAAAUCUUAAUUAAUAACAGUUAGGCCUAAACUUGAGAGAGAUUUCAAUUUUGAGAACUAGUCAUGGCAGAGCAACUAUUCAUCAUUUCCAUGUGAGAGCUUAUCAUGAGGGUUCAUAGCAAACUUUAUUUAUUUAUUUAUUUAGCAAACUAAGCAAAGAUAUUUAUAAGCACAAAAUCUUUAUUUGAGUUUUUAUGAUCAUGCAUCUUUUUAUUAUUUGAGUAAAAUAUAAACGUGAGUAGAACACUUAGCUGGAUAAAUGGGGGUGCUCUCCCCCAAGCUGGAUUUUGACGUAAUUUCUUCUGAUGUAGCUAGCAGGUGGCGGAGGUGUAUUUGAAUGUCGGCAGCACCCUGACAGCGAUUAGGAUGUCCUCCGUCUGCUAGUCUUCUUUAAUCCUUGAAUUCUAUGGAGCUCAAAUAGACAACAAAACUUUGUGGAACUAGUUAAGUGUUAGCAUAAAAACUCUUAGCCGUUAUCAUGUUGAGCUUCCUCUAAUAAAUUUUACUCUCUUUGGUUGGAUCAUAAAUCUAUUUUUAUAAUUUUAUUUUUACAGGACAGGAAUAUAUUUAUUUUAUUUUUAUGCCACCACAGUGAAUGUACUUAUGGGUUUUAUGCCAUGAGCAUACUCACAUGGGGCUUACUUAACAUUUUUAUUUUCUUUUCAAGAUGAUAUGAACCUGAUUAACUAAGCAAACUAUUUUAAAAUAAUUGAAAGGAAAAAGAUAACUACCAAGUUUACCUCUUGGCAAGGCGUUCGGUGUUUUUAAGUCCUCCGAACGGGACUCUCCGUUUUCUCAGUCGUCCUGGGAUUCGCUGGAUGGCGUAGUCGGUGGUUCCGGCGGUGCCUCCUCUUCAUGUAUAACUAUCUUCUCUCUGCACACCUGACUCGGUGCUACGGUCUCCUCAGGACAGUUCUGUUCAAGUUGUUUGUCUUCAGACCUUACCACUUCUCCUUCGUAGUCUGCCCAUCCGUCCUUGAUGAUUUGCGUCCUCUGGUUGCGGUUGCGUCGUCUUCUUCUUGUCCUGACCUGCUUAGAGUCUUAAACUAUAUGGUUAGGGUUAGUAAAAUAGCGGCGUACCUUCUCAGAGGGGAAGUGCAUGUGGACUUCUCUGGUUCCAAUGUAGAUGAUUGCUUUAACGGUGCUGAGGAACGGCCUCCUAAGGAUGAUGGGUGGAUCGUACUCAUCUUCUCCCACAUCAAUAACUUGAAAAUCUUUCGGACUGUCUGAUCUGCCAUCUGGAGCUGAAUGUAUGUCGGUUUCAGGGGCAUGGUUCCGAAUAGGAGCUGAUAGGUGACUGGGUCGUCCUUUUUGGUUAGGUGACUUAAGUCGACGGUCUUGACCUCCUUGAACUGCAGUGACCAUCUUAGCUGACUCGGUCCACAUUCGCUUGUUCCUGUUCCUCCUGUUGGUCCUCUUCCUUGGUUUAUGUCGGGAAUGCUCUGAGAUUUGUGUAGUCUUAUUCUUGAAGGAAAACGUCUCCUUCCUCCCCUUGAUGUAGAAACUGAUCUUGGCAGCACUAGCGUAGAUGAUAGCUCCCGAGGUGUUCAGGAAUGGCCUCCAUAGGAUGAUGGGAGCCCUCUCAUCAGUACCAGUCCCUAUCACCACGAAGUCUGCUGGGGCGUACAAGGUACCAACUCGGACGUAGAGGUUCUUCAAUAUUCCCUUUGGGAAACUAAGCGUACGAUCUGCAAACUGCAAACACAUGGCUGUUUCUAAUAAAGGAUGUGUAAAGAAUUUUUCAUAGAGUACCCUGGGCAUAAUGUUGACACUGGAGCCAAAGUCGCAGAGUGCUUCUAGGAAGUCCACCAUGCCGAAGGAGAUCGGGAUGACGGGGCAUCCUGGAUUGUCUCUCUUGACCGGCAGAAGGUCAGUAAUUACUUCCACAACAGGGUUACUCCACUAGUUACGUCCUCAAGCAUCUAAGGGUAGUGAUUGCCUGAGUGUCCAGUAUCUCCAGUGUGUGUACUCGUUGAUCUAGGUUCUUCACAUGGUGGAGUCUGGGAGUUGUAAAAGUUCUUCAUAUUUUGCUCAAAGUGUACCUGCUCAUAGAGACAAGGCAGAGAUCAAGUGCAUGGGCCCUGUUGGUGGAAAACACCAACAGAACCAAAAGUGUAUUUGUUCUUCUCUAACCUUAAGCAUAGUGAGCAAGACAAAGUUGAUGGAUAAUAAGAUCAUGAGUGUAGCAUUUAAAACAUUUGUCAGAUCAGAUCACUCAACCUUAUGGAAAGAUAAUCUAUCUAAGCAAAUGUUUUUUUACAUGACUAUCAUUUUCCAAAGAUUGAGUGUGCAACAUUUUAGUUCAUAUGAUUAGGAGUGUGAGAUCACAAAGGUGGAAGGACUAAACAUGUUGAAUCGAUUGGGUUGGUUACUCUAGAGUUAUAAAUCAUACAUGUUUGUCUCAUUUAUUCAUGUGAACGUCAGAACCAAGGAGAAGCUUAUAAAAGUGAUAGUCAAGUACUUUAAGAUGUUACCUUACUUGAAGAGUGAUGGUACAGUAUCACCUUGUGGAAGCUUUCCUUUCUUAGCGGUUGUGCAUCGUGUUUGUGGCACCCUCCAUGGAUCAUCUCUUGUGAGCUAUGCCUUCCUUGUGUAAAUUGUUAACUUUCAUGUGUCUCUCUCUUUGUCUCCAAUGUGAGUUUAUCUCAGGACUUCCCAGGUCGAUAUUGAAAGUUUUCUUGCAGGGGUUAGUCCAACAAAAUAUCCAAUAUCUACUAUAGCAUACUAUCGGCUCAAAGAUCAACCUAGACACCAUGUCCAAUUUGAUUUAGGAGGGAAUUUAACCUAAGCAUCAUGCUUAAUUUAAAAUCCUUUGGAAGUAAGAUCAUCAUUCCUAAACUAAGCACCAUGCUUAAUUAAGAGAUAAAUGAAACUACUCCAAACCUAGACAUAUACUAAAGCAAAUAAAGGUAGCAUGAGAGCAUUUAUAGAGAUCUACUCAAGUGGAGAUGAUGUAGUGUGAUUAGUAUUUAACAAAUUGAGCAUGUCUCAAAGGUAGGGACAACCAACAUAGCAACAUGGCAAAUGAUGUUUUUAUGUAAAGUACUCCCCCAAGCUUGAAUUUUGCAAAAUUCAAGUUUGGAUGAAUUUAAUUCAAUGUUGUAUGAUGAUUGGUUGGACAUACCUUGUGCUUGUCAUUCAUCCGAUCUUCUUGCUUCAAUCCUGGAAAGGUUAGUGACAAGAAUACCCGAAGGAAUAUUUUUACAAUUAUCCUUAUAUGCUCAAUACACAAGGUAAAGUUGCAAAUAAUUAAAAGCUCAUGUUACGAUCUGAUCAAUGCUUGUUUUAGGACACUAAGCUUGUCCUUGGGAAACCAUCAAUUUAUGUCUGCGAAGUGGUUUCCCCUCCAACGCUGACCUAUAUCAAGAUCAACUCAACGAGAUCUGCAAAAUUUAUUAUAGAUAUAUGCAUCGACAACCGCCCUUUUAAAGUUUUUAUAAAUAGAAAGGAUGAGGGGGUUGGAGAUCUCGAAUGUGGUGAUGUUGGAGAGACCAAUGGAUUGGUAAGAUGUUGCAUAUGAGCAUGGAGUAAAUGAAGUGGCUACGAAAUAAAUUCCAUGCUCAUUAAUGCUUAGAGUGAAAUCCAUGUGGUAUGGUGAAAAUGGUAAGGUGAGUGUGGUACAAAAAAGGAAAAGAAAAAGGAUACACGGACGACUUGGUUCGAAACUAGCACAGCUACCAUUCCCCGGCAACGGCGGCAGAAAGCUUGUUGGGUAUUUUAAACGCAAACAGAAAAAAUCCGCAAGCUCACGGAUACCGAUGUAGCUUUCACCCGGGAGUAUUCCAGAGUAUCGAUUUUCCACAGAGAACGUGAGUGUACUAAGAUCCAAGAUCGCCCAAGGAUAACUAUAUAAUUAUUUUUGGUGGGAAGAGAGGAAGUUUCCUGAGAGUUCUCUAGUUGAUCUAAGAAUCAAGAAUUACCUCAAGAUUAUCUAUAUCGGGACAUCAGAGCACUAACCACAGAAAGAGAUGAGAAGGGGGCUAGGAAAGUCUGACUACGGUCCUACAAACACCGAUCCGAACGUGGUGGAAUACGUCGACCAUUAGGGCUGUCACUACCCUAAGGCUACCACAACAAUCUGCAGGAUUGGGUGCAAUUCCAGGUAAUUGCAAGACUAAACACCACGUCUAAUCUAUUAAUUACUACUCUAAUGUUUCAAAGAUUAGAGCACUUGAUGCAAGCGGGAACCCAAUAAAUAACUUGAAUGUAAAUAAAAGUAAUUAGAGAACUCAGGAGUUAUGUGUUGAAGAACCUGGAGAACGAUGAAGAACGAACCAGUUGCUGCAAAAGUACAAUGUUGAGGAAGAUCCGACAGAUCCGGCUCCUCCUCCGCUCUCCUCUUCUCUCUCCAGAACUAGAACUAGAGGAACUAGAACUAGAACUAGAUGAACUAGAACUAGAUCUAGAUGAACUAGAGGUAGAACUAGAAGAACUAGAGGGAUCCUCUCUACUUGGAUGAAGAAUUGAAACCCUAACUUUGAUUCUGUAGAAGAGGUAUGAUCUCCAGGGGCCAGGGGGUCUGGUUUUAUAGUCCCUUCAAGUGAAUCUGAGCCGUUGGAUCAAACCGACAUUGAUUGAACGGUUAUCCUUGAUCCUUUAGGUCGGUGGAGCAAUAUCCCGAAAGAGAGUCCUGAUUGGACUCUGGUUGAGGGCGGGCGCCCUGUCCCUGAGUCCUCUCGGCCUCCGCUUCGGUCCCGUGGCUUCUGGAGUCUUCUAGAUGAUAGAAAAUUGCAUGGCACGUUAAUAUCUCUAUGUAAACCUGACGUGUGGGCCUUUCCUCCGUAUUUCCUGAUAACCCCCUGCAGAAAUAGACAAACACCAAAACUUGUGGAAUUCUGUCAGAUAAAACCCUAAGUCUAGGUGUUGGUUGCAUUUGGAUCCUUUUCUCUGAUUAGUUGAUGGUUAAAUAUGAGCAUUAAGGACCGUCAACAAGGAUGUAUGCCUUGGCGGUCUUGGUUCCCUUGGUACCCUCAAAUGUUUCUUCUAAUUUUGCUCAUGCAUCAAGAGCAAUCUCAAUGUUCUUCAUUUGCUCAAAGGUCUUGUCAUCAAGAGCUUCAUGAAGAGCACUUAUUGCAAUGUCAUUACAUUGAAGCUUCUUUUCUUCAACCGGUGCUGGUGUAUUCUCAUUUGCAACCUCAAACUUUGUUUCGGUCACCUUCCAAACCUCUCUAUUGAUUGACUUAAGAUGAGCGGUCAUCUUGACCUUCCAAUAUGCAUAAUUUGUGCCAUCAAAGUAAGGUGCCUUCUUGGUGUUGUUGAUAUGCAAACUAAGAGUCAUUUUUUCACUGAAGGUUGUUAAGCCUCAAUUAAACGGUGCCUCGGCUUCGAUACCACUUGUAAGGUCCAAAUGGCUAGAGGGGGGGUGAAUAGCCUAUUUAAAAUUCUCUACAAAUUCAACUAGACAAGUUGGUUAGUAAAAUAAGUGGUGAAGCUUUUCUAGCACUAGCACAACUAAGCUAUGCAAGCCACCUACACAAGUCUAGCAAAAAGGCUAAACACUAAAACACAACAACUAGAGAAGGCUACACAACAACUCUAUACUAACAAUAACUAAGCUACGCAAGCUAAACUAACAAGGUAGGCAAGUAUGUAAAGAGAAGAGAGUGAUUGUUAUACCGACGUUGUAGAGAUGAGAUAUAUCCAAUCAAUCACGUACACAAUCACAAGAGAGACCUCGGCAAGAGAUGACACAAGAUUUUUUUACUAAGGUUCACUUGCUUCCCGGUAAGCUACUCCUCGUUGUGGCGAUACACCCACUUGAUGGAUCACGAGCUAAUUGGCAAUUCAAAGCCAAACCCUCAGCGUGUGCCGCACAUCCACUCACAAGAUGGGGAUCCUCCAAGCCACGAGCAAUCCACUAGAGUAGCCAAUUGCGAUCUCCCACGGGGAAGGCUCAAGAACCCCUCACAAAUCACUUGGUGAGGCUUGAAACAAUCUCCAAUCACGAGCUCAACACCACCACUGCUCCAAGCCGUCUAGGGCGUCGGGAAACACCCAAGAGUAACAAGAAAUCCGCAGCAAAACUCAAGAAUCAAGUGCCACUAAAUGCAACUCUCAAAGCAAUGCACUUGACUCUUACUCAAUCUCACUAGGAUUAGCAAUCAACCAAGGAGAUGAGUGGAGAGUGUGUUCUCUAGCUCAAUGUAUGCCUCAAGUAUUCAAAUGUGCAAGAGUAAACCUCCCAAAGCUAGGCACCUUCUAUUUAAAAGCCCCCUCAAAGAAAUAGUCGUUGGCCACUUUCAUUGGGCUAAAAUCGGGGGCACCGGACGCUACCAAGCGAGCACCGGACGCUCGACCCCCUGCGUCCGGUGUUCUAGGGUUGGCCACGUUAAAUAUCGCGCGUCAAACUCUAACGGUCUCCUGCGGACCACCGAACGCGACCAAGUGAGCACUGGACACGUCUGGUACUCACCGGACUCGUGCGCAGAGAGUUUGUAAAACUCAGAUCUCACCGGACUCGGAGCACCGGACGGUCCGGUGCUCACCAGACUCGUGCGCAGAGAGGGUUGCAAAACCCCCUCACACCAGACGCACACCACCGGAUGCACGCAGAGCAUCCGGUGCUCUCAGUCAGACACCCUCUGCUAAAAUCAGGCCACACCGGACGCAUGAACAGGGAACACCCUGCGUCCGGUGCAGUGCGUCCGGUGCUCAACCCUAACAGAGCCAAGCAUUGACAGCACACCGGACGCUCAGGCCAGCGUCCGGUGCCUCCGCGUACUGCGUCCGGUGUGAGAAACACUCCCGUGACAUCUCCAAUUUCCUAACAACGCAAUAGAAAAUAUACACUUAAUUUUCUCAAAAGCACCGAAUCUCGCCUCGCAAGCUCAGCGGGAGGGAGAGAGGAACCCACACCCCUCUCAACCCUAGGAACUCCACCUCCUUUGCAAAUGUGCUAACACCAACAAGUGUCCACCACCAAAGUGCAUAUGUGUUAGCUUUUCACAAACAUUUUCAUCAAAGGAGUUAAGUUGGCACUUUACUAGAUCCUAAUGCAUAUGCUCAAGAUAUGGACCUAGUAGCACUUGAUUCGAGAGAUGACCGUGAUUUCCCCUCUUGAUAGUCGGCUAUCUAUCCUAAAUUCGGUCAAUCACUUCUCUACUCAACUUAGACUGGCAAAAGUAAAACCCUAUGUUUAUACCUUUGCAUUGAUCACUUUACUCCUCGUCUAUCACCAAGAUCUUCCCUUCAUGUUUCAUCCCUUUGUGAUCAUGUGGCCACCUUUCCAUGCCACCAUGCAUCUUCAUCACAUGUGUUUCUAUGCCUAACUCAAAUCACUUAAACACAAGGUAUUAGCAACUUGGUGUCAUUAAUUACCAAAACCAAACUUGGGCUUUCAUCCUCCAUGAUCAGGAUGGCGUGCUUCUUGCCGUGGGAGCACGGGAAGGCGCCCACGGGCGGCGGCGCCGCUGUCGCGCGGCCUCGUCAUAUGCCACGGUGGCCCCUUCCGCGUGGCCUUCAUUUGGAUUCAGGGCAGGCAAUUGCAUGCUCGUGUGUACUCCUCCGACGCCGGCGAUGGCGUGGGCAUCUAGAGGUCGACGUGCGCAGAGGAGGAGACAAAGAUAGAGUCCACCACCUUGGGUGCUGGUGAUGGUGACCAUGCUCUAGCUCCGGCAACAUGUUCGAUGCAAUGUCUUAGAGAGAGGUAAACUUACCAGAAUGAGGAAGAGAUAAUUGUAUGCAAACCAAGUCAACCAACCAAACAAGAAAUCGUCCUAGCCAGGCUCAACCACAAAGGCAACCAAACAAAGAGGUCUUGGCUUGUUAGGGGUAGGCUUGGUGUAGCCUGGCUUGAUUUUACUAGUCUGGCCAGGUUAGAAAACGAACCAAACACACCCUAUGUUUUUGUGGUUGGAGAGAAUCUCACACCAAGAUGUAUGGGUGUGUUUGGUUCCCAUCCAGAUGUGGCCAAAUCUGCCCUGGGCUAGAUUUCACAUGUUUGGUUCCUUGUUCUAGGCUUGGGGCAUGGCCAGGAUGGGUCGGCCGUACGAUGUUGGCCUGGCCAGCCUUGAAAGGCCAAUUCGGCCUUCCCAACUGAGCCAGGCUCUGGCCAGCCUCCUGCCUAGGUUCCCGUCAUUGCUCCCAAACUUCUUCUCUGCAUCCUCCCGGUCCCCAACCCUACCUCCUCAGCAACUCCACGCCGGCGGCGGCGGCGUCCGUGAGGCAGGCCAGCGCGGAGACGAGACGCGCGAGGCGGCGGCGCCGGGCCGCCACAUCAGGUAGCACCCCGCGGCAGCGUCCGCCCAGAGGAGCUAGCAGCGGCGGCGCCGGGCGAAGCCAAGCGCGCGGUGGCCGGAGAUGCGGAUGGGGAAUCUCCGGUCGAGGCUCUCGGCGACGACGCGCAUGCGUGGGCGCAUCUCGGGGUCGGGCUCCUCGCACCGUGGGGUCGACUCGAGCACGACGUGGAAGACGGCCAGGACCUUCUUCUUGGCGUGCACCUCGCUGAGCAGUGUGGAGUCGACCACCUCCGAGCAGCGUGGGGUCGCCCAGGACCUUCUCCUUGGCGUGCACCUUGUCGUGCAUCUCGCUCCGUGCUCGCGCCCGCUCCAUGCGCCGGGCCAUGCUCCGUGCACGCCGCGCCCUGGCCUCCAGGUCUUCGCUCGUCCGGUACUGCUCUCCAGGAAGCUGUAUCCGUGUCCAUGUGGUGCUCGCUAGGUGUUCAUCAUGUGGUCUCCAAGAAGCUAUGCAGUUGUAGAUGGGCAAGUGCAGGGGAGAAGAUGAUGGACUGCUGCUGGUGCUAUGUUCCAUGUUUUUUUUGUAUGUUCGUGCUGAGCACCUGAGCUGCUGCCCGUCCGAUGGCGUUGGUGAGAAUUGGCGCACAGCAGGUGUUCGACGAAUUAUGUCAAAGGUGGUGAACUAACCUGUAUAAAAAAGAGGUGACUCUAUCCAAGCCAAACAACCCAACCAAACACACUAAAAGUUAGACAGGCUUAGAUAAUGCAUGCAACCAAACAAGUCCAUCUUGGCUCACUAGAGACAGGCUUGAUCUAGCCUGGCUUAUUUCCUAGCCAGGCUAGAAGAGAGACAGGAAACCAAACACACCCUAUAUUUCUGCAACUCGAUGAUGUUGGCGCAUUUGAAGUUGCUUGUGCAAGACUUGUGAAAGAUCCCACAUUGCCAAAGGAUCAAAUCAACUUGGCAGAGUGGGCGAUGAGGUGGCAGCGCCAGCAUUAGCUGGAAGCAAUCAUGGAUCCUCAUCUGGAUGGUGACUUCUCAUCAGAAUCACUAAAGAAGUUUGGUGAGAUUGCAAAGAAAUGUCUCGCUGAUGAUGGGAGAAGCAUGCCAUCAAUGGGUGAGGUCCUGUGGCAUCUUGAGUAUGUGCUGUAGCUCCGUGAAGGUUACAAGCGAAAUGUAGAGUUCGAAAUAUUUAGAAGCGGUGAGUUGGAAUUCGCUGAUAUAUCCUUUAGCCUCCCUCACAUCAGAGAGGGGGAAGAGGAACGCCACUCUAUGCCAUCAAGUAUCAGAGAGGAACUAGACACAUGAGAACUUCUGACUUCAGCAAAAACUCACUGAAAAAUCUUGCUUUGUAGCCAUGAUCUUGAUGUAAAGUUGUGUUAGAGCAUCUCCAAAAGCCUUUCUAAAUCUCACUGUCUAAAUCAUCAUUUGGAGAGCCAUUUGCAUAAAAAUCGUUUUCUAUAUUUUUUUCACUCUCCAACAGUUUUGCUAAAUCUCAUGCACACUCUAGAGAGUCAUUCUUGUCUUCUAUAUUUGGCUAGCGAAAAAUUCAGAAUAGACAAUGUCUAUAUUUGGAUGACCAUUUAGAGAAGGAGGGUAAUUUUUCAUCAGAAUCUCUAUUCCUAGCAUUUAGAAAGAAUAUAUAGAGUCUCUUGGAGAUGCUCUUAUAUUGUUCUCUUAGUUUUUUUAGCUGUGUCAGUUGCUUCUUAUUCCUUUGGGCGUUCUUCCUGCCUGACAAGUGUAGAAUAAUAGUGUUUUUUUCUUGCGUAGAUUACCAAACCCCGCCAAAAAAAGGACACAGAAGUGUCAAGAUUUUCCUUGACAUCUGUAUCAUGAAAUUUGCAUAACCACCGUCCAUGUACUGCUGCCUGAAUGACCUGUAUAAAUGACACUGACAACUAUAGUGGAUAUCUUUAAGGAUAUAUUGUUGACCUGGCUUCUUUGUACCAAUGCAUUGUAAUUUGUAACCAUGUCGCUGGCUUGCUGUUGCCAGUGAACAGUUCUAAAGUGCUGUGACAGGGAUAAUAUGUUGAGACCACCAGAUAACUGGAACCGAUCAGAAAGUGUAUAUACUGAACACUGGCAUUAGAAUUCCACCCACCUAUGCACGAAAUAACCGUUUACGCAGUGACAGGCAUAGUUGAACUGCACCAGAUGACCUUUUUGUGCUUCAAGCCUAGGCAAGGUACCAAAUCCAGGCAAAAGAAAUUGAACUAACAUUAUCAAAUGAAAUAGUUUUGUUUAUGCUUGCAAGGCUAAUAGUCAACUGCAUACAAGGGCCUAUAAUACUGAUAAGCGAUCCUGGAUCUCAACAUUUGCAAUGGAAUAGUAAAAACAACAAAAUGUAGAACCACCACACAUAACAAAAUUAAUUUGGCACAUCAGUAAGCAUGAGGAUAGGAAUUUCUACAACCAAACUGUAUAAGAGUGAGUAGUAACGGCUAUUAGGGAUAUGUGCAUUCUGAAAUCACAAAAUCAAAUCAAUUCCUGUACACAAUUAUUAAAAUAAGUGCUAUUCAAAAUCCUGUACGCAAGCAUGAGACCCAUCAAUAAUGACAACAACUCAGCGCUAUACUUCCAACGCUGUGCACCAGUAAAGCAGUCUGAUUUCUGGUCAGCUUAUGAAUGUCAUAGUUAUCAUAAUAUUAACAAAUUAUAGCUUCAAAAUUUUAUAGCAAGAGUGAAACGUAAAUAGAUAAGUAUCAUUUCGGUUCUCGAUUUUUAUGAAUACUUGAUAAUUUUUUUCUCCCGUUGCAACGCACGCACACGUUUGCUAAUAAAAAGUUUAAAUGGAGACGAAUGGCUUUACUUUUUAGUAUGGAGUAUAUAUAGUAAAUAAAAUAAUAGACUUGUCGUCUUCCCUCAAACCCAACUUGAAAUAUGUUCGAGGCCCGGCCUAAAAUCAAGUACCUCGAGCCCAACUUGUGUUCGAGGCCCGGCCAAAAAAUCAAGCCUGCCAGAGAGCUCGUUGACAGCCCGCUGCCCUCAGGCUCAGCUCACAGCUCACCUCCUCUCUCUUCUCGACUCCUCUCUUCUCCGUCUCCUCCCGAUCCCGGUCGGGGGAAUUUGUUGGGGGAGAAGAAGCGAGGGGGAGAGAGCUAAACUAGGGUUCAGGGGAUUCGGGGCCGAGAGGUGCACGAUGAGCAUCGUGCCCAAGGAGACGAUUGAGGUCAUCGCUCAGAGCGUCGGCAUCCCCAGCCUCGGCGCCGAUGUCGCCGUCGCGCUCGCCCCCGACGUCGAAUACCGCCUCCGCGAGAUCAUGCAGGUCAGGCCCCGCCCCCCUUGCCUAGGGUGUACUUGUUUAUGAUGUGAGAAUUGAGAUGGAAUGUUGAGGGCUGCAUGAUGGGAUAAACUUGUCAAGUGAGAUGGUGUUUGUUUUUCGACUGCUACAACUGGUGGAAAAGUCUUUUUUUUUAUUUUUUUCAACUGAUAAUUCGAGUUAUGCUACUUAAUUAGUUGAGCGCAUACAAUUCUUUCCCUUUAGGGAUGUAGAACUUAGUUGGACAUCAUAAUUUUGUCAAAGUACUAGUGGGGUUUGAUACGGAAGACUGUCCUACGGCCAGAUAUUUCAUUAGCUAGUGUUUUUCAUAAUUCAUUUCUUUGUGGAUACUGUCUUUUCCCUUUCUGCCGCUUGUGCUAAUUUAUGCUAAACUUAUAAUCACACAAGUCUUCAUGAAACCUUGCAGUUUUACUACUUCUUCUGCCAUUGUGAUGAUCCCAUUUUCUGUGUUUUGCAUCAGGAAUCCAUUAAAUGUAUGCGGCAUGCAAAGCGGACUGUUCUGACGGCGGAUGAUGUUGACAGUGCCCUGGGCCUCAGGAAUGUUGAGGUGAAUUACCUUCCUAUGCUAAAAUUUUUGGAUACUUGCAAUGUAGGCUUAUAUAGGUCCACUAUGGAAAAAGUCUACAUCACCCCCUGAACUAUAGGGUGGUGUCUACUUUACCCCUCGAACUAUGAAACAGUCUAAUUUACCUCUGAACUAUCCAAAACCGUUCAAAUCACACCUCUGAGUGGUUUUUUAUGGCGGUUUUGCUACAGUAACUAUAGUUUUGCUACAGUAAUUGUGGUUUUGACUUUUUCUUUUUCUCUAUUUGUUUUCAUAUAAUCUUUGAAAAAUCAUAGAAAAAAUAUAAAAUAUAAAAUCUAAUUUUGUUGGACUCCGCAUGAGUAGAUCUACGCAAUGAAUAUAUAAUGUGUUAUACUUUAAUACAAAUUUUUUCUAUAAUUUAAAUUAGUUAGAAAAAUCAAUUUUAUCUGUAAUUAAUUGGAAUAAUUCAUAGCUGCAGCUUCUGUGGUCCAAUUGUGGUGAAAUUUUUAUGGUGGACUAAUUAUUCUACGCUUGAACUAUAGUAAAUAUUUCAUACUCAAUGGAUCAUAAACCUAAGUUAUUAUGGUGAAUUAUUAAAGUAGUUAUAUAUUUAAUUAUAUUUAACAAGCAUAAACCUGAAUAACCGGAAUUAACUUAGUUAUACAUGAUCCGAUGAGUAUGAAAUAUUUACUAUAGUUCAAGCAUAGAAUAAUUAGUCCAUCAUAAAAAUUUCACUACAAUUGGACCACAGGAGCUGCAACUAUGAUUUAUUCCAAUUAAUUACAGAUAAAAUUUGAUUUUUCUAACUAAUUUAAAGCUACAGAAAAAAAUUGUACUAAAGUAUACCAUAUUAUAUAUUCAUUACGUAGAUCUACUCAUAUGGAGUCCAACAAAAUUAGAUUUUCUAUUUUAUGAUUUUUCUAUGAUUUUCUAUGAUUUUUUAAAGCUUAUAUGAAAACAAAUAGGGAAAAAGAAAAAGUCAAAACCACAGUAUUGUAGCAAAACCGCUAUCAAAAACCGUCUGGGGGUGAUUUAAACGGUUUUGGAUAGUUUAGGGGGUAAAUUAGACUGUUUCAUAGUUCGGGGGGUAAAGUAGACACCACCCUAUAGUUCAGGGGGUGAUGUAGACUUUUUCCGGUCCACUAUGCACUUGUGAAUUGGUAGCUAAUAAAUUUAGAAUCCUUUUUUUUGUCGUAUUGUUUUUCUGAAUCAUGUUCAGAACUUCCAAAACGUGUAACUACAACCAACUUUUAGAUUUUGAUAAGUAUCUUUAUGGUAUGUAAAUGAUAUUCAACUUACGACCUCCACUUGCAUAUUUGGUUCAGUAAACAAUCGAACAAGUAGUUUUUGGAGGAUGAUUCCAUGUAUUUGUUAUCUCGAAAUUCCAUCUCAGAAAUCUUUAGAAAAAUUGGUUUUUGCUUUACUGGUACAUAGUUGUUUUUACUACAGUUGUAAUAUUGGUUCCUCAGUUCAUAGAUGUAAUUUUCUGACUAGAAUUUUCUCAGCAAGUAAAGCUCUUUGAUUAGCUUCUUUUUGUUGAAACUGACUGCCUUAUGCAAUUUUUCGUCAUACUUUUAUAUUGAAGAGUGUCAAAAUUCCUCUGCUAGACCUUAUUUUGUUUGAACUGACUCUGCUGUUUCAUUACUAUGGGUUCUCAAUCAGCCUGUGUAUGGAUUUGCUUCUGGUGACCCAUUGCGUUUUAAGAGAGCUGUUGGGCAUAAAGAUCUCUUCUAUCUUGAUGAUCGGGAGGUAGACUUCAAAGAGGUAGGGGCAAUAUUAAUGAUUAUUAAAUUUUCGUACCACUUAUUUCAAAAUCAUUAAUUUGAAAUGUUUCUUCAUGGUUGGUGUUAUGCAGAUUAUUGAAGCUCCUCUGCCCAAAGCCCCACUGGACACAUCAGUUGUAGCCCAUUGGCUAGCGAUUGAGGGGGUACAGCCUGCAAUACCGGAGAAUCCUGCUAUUGACGGUUUGCUCUUUUUGUCCAGAGAUUUAUAGUCCUUUUCUCCUUGGCAAGAUGUAGUUACAUUCUUCUCUAAUAUUGAGAGAAAAAACACUUGUUGUGACAAAUAGCAUUUUAUUUCAGCAAUUGUACCACCAACUGAAAAUAAAAGGUCUGAGCAUGGUAAGGAUGAUGGACUGCCAGUUGACAUCAAGCUUCCUGUUAAGCAUGUAUUAUCUAGAGAACUACAGGUACUUUGAUUAUGAUACUGUGCAAUAUUGCUCAUAUAUUUCCAAGAAACUUAUAUACCUCUUCACUAUUUGGUUUUGCAGAUGUACUUUGAUAAAAUAGCUGAGCUUACUAUGAGUAGAUCUGAUACAUCCCUUUUUAAAGAAGCUUUAGUGAGCUUGGCAAAAGAUUCUGGUCUUCAUCCUUUGGUUCCUUACUUUUCCUACUUCAUUGCAGACGAGGUUGUACAGUAGCUUUCUUGCUUUUGGUGUUAUUUUCUUGAGAUGGAAUUACUUAAGUGUGUAUCCAUCUGAAUUUCAGGUUACCCGGAGUUUGGGUGAUCUUCCUGUUUUAUUUGCUCUAAUGAGAGUAGUCCAAAGUCUUCUCCGUAAUCCACAUAUUCAUAUUGAACCUUAUGUAAGUGGUAAACCAUAAAGUUUUGAUAGUUCAUGUGUGUGACUUAUUUUUUAGUCAUUUUGGAUAUUCUUUUCAUCAUAUUAGUCCUAAAUUAGCAAUAUUUGUCUUGAUUUGUAGUUGCACCAGCUGAUGCCAUCAAUGAUCACUUGCAUUGUUGCAAAAAGGCUAGGGCAUAGGCUCUCAGAUAAUCACUGGGAACUUAGAGACUUCUCUGCCAAUUUGGUCGCCUCGGUAUGUCGGAGGUGAGUGAUAUGUGAAGGGUGUCAGUAGGUCCUUUGUAUAAUUAUCAAAUUUUAAUUCAAUUACAUUUAUGAUUUCAACUCCUUGGUCCCAUAUUAUACUCUUAAAGAACAGCUCAUAUGAAAGGUGCCCAUGAAAGUGCUUUAUCUUAGUUAUUGCUAAAAUGCUAUCUUAUCGACAGGUUUAAGAUGAAGGUCAAUUCAAUAAUAGUUUGACCACCAUUUCAUACUCUUUCUUCCAUAUAUAUAAGAUUUUAUUACUAUUUUGUGGGAUCUUGCUAUAUAUGACAUGAUCAGUUUCAUGGCAACUUACAUCUUCUUUAGCGGAGAACAUACCAAUAAACCAUUGCAUGGCUUUGCGGCUUUGCUACUGAGUACACUACAUAUUGUGUUCCUUUUAGAGACCAAAUGGUAAAUAAAUAUUUUCACUAUGCUGUGUGUGGACAGAAGAUUUAUUUCAGUUCUAUCUUCAUGCAUUUGUUGGGCGGGUCAUGACUUGUUCGUGUCUUAUGUGUUCCCCAUAAAUCCAUUUUCUUUUGGAAUUGAUAGAUCCAUAGCCUUUUGCAUACUCUGCUCAUGGAGUGUGAGUCCUUUUCUAAAUGAUAAUCUCUAGCUCUCUUUGCUAAUUGGUCUUUUCUGUAUGUAGUAAUUGGCUAAUUGCCUUAAUAAUUUUCUCAUGACAUUGUUGAUCAACUGAAGAUUAUCGUUUUCAGGUUUGGUCAUGUCUAUCACAACCUUCAAAAUCGGUUAACUAAAACAUUGAUCCAUGCAUUUCUUGAUCCUGCCAAAUCACUGACACAACAUUAUGGUGCUGUUCAAGGGAUAUCUGCAUUGGGUCCCAGCGCGGUAGAUCCCAUUCAAAACUCACUUUUUGUAUUAGUUUUGCACUGGCUGAUGUUUUUUUCUGCUUGCCAGAUUAGACUUCUUCUUUUGCCCAACCUUGUAACAUAUAUGCAACUUCUGGAGCCGGAACUGCAGCUUGAGAAGCAGAAAAACGAGAUGAAAAGGAAGGAAGCUUGGCGUGUUUAUGGUGCCUUGCUGGUGAGUUUAGAGUUUUCAGUCAAUAUAAUGUUUUCUGUAUUUUGGUUCACCAACUAAUUCCAAGCAAAGUCUCUCACCACUGGGAUGCAUUUUUUAGUGUGCUGCAGGCAAAUGCUUGUAUGAUCGGUUGAAAUUAUUUCCUGGUUUGCUUUCUCCAUCGAUGCGGCCUCUUUUACGGAGCAACAAAAGGGUCUCAACCAACAACCCAAGUAAGUGUUGAAUAUAAGCACACUAUCAGUUGAAUAUAUGCCAGUAGACACAUGUUGACUGGCGGUUAAGUGCCAAAUGGUCCUUGCUGUCAGCAGUUGAAUUAGUAGAGUUUGAAAGUAAAGAGUAUGUUGCGCUGCAAAUUUCAGAUAAGCGAAAAUCUAGCACAAAUCUCUCUGCAACUCAGCCACCUCUGAAGAAGAUGGCAACAGACGCAACAGCCAACUCCAUGGCCUCAGCUUCCAUGGGAGGAAACAUGCAAGGUGCCAUGGAUGGCUUUCCUAACCAGUUAGCCAACCCUGGCAUGAUGCAGGCCUCGUCCUCUGGCCAGAUAGUGGAGAGCAUCCCAUCAGCUGUGAUCCGGAGAGAUCAGGGCAGUGAUCUCGCACAGAGAGUUUCUGCAGUGCUUAGGCAAGCUUGGAAGGAGGAUCAGGACACCGGUCAUCUCUUGGGGUCUCUGUACGAUGUCUUUGGUGAAGCCAUCUUCUCCUUUGUCCAACCACCAGAGAUAUCCUUGUUUGUGUAGAGAGGAAAUGCAUAGGCGAGGGUUUCAUUAAUCUACGCUAUUGUAGGGAUAUUUUGCAGAGUUCACGAAGCGCUAUAAUGUAAUGCCAGCUGUAGUUUACUCAGUACUGCAUGUAUUUGUAACAUAUUCCAGUUAUGUAUACUAUGUUGCAUAGCCUGCUGCUGCUGCAAAUUUACAACUGUAUGUUACUGUAGCUAGAACUAGAGCACCUGCAGCAGCUGUGGCGUUAGGCGUUAAGCAGAAGCGAACAGUUUCAAGUAUGUCUAUCUACAUGCAUUUUGUGGUGGCGUUAACAUUCAGGUGGCAUAGUUUGCUUUUGUAAGUGCUUACUCUUCAUCCAAAAUAAGGACACAGUUAACGCGUGACCUGUUGUGCACUAGGACGUGACCUUGUUCAUCUUCCACCUUAGGCAUCCGCCUCUGUCUCUGCCUUCCUCACCUGCUGUUCCUAGCUAGUGGUUGGGUUGCCCCACCACUUGCCCUCGUCACCCUCCUUGUCCUCAUCCCUGUUGUCAGCCAUCGCCCCGCCAUGGGCGUGCUAGAGAGCUUCGGUGAACCCUAGCGCGCUAGUGGUGGUUGCCUUCUUCCCCCCCUCCUGCGAUGAUAAGCUCUUGUCGUGGCUACCUUCCUCUUCUCCCCCCCCCCUCCUACGAUGAUAAGCUCUUGUCGUGGCUACCUUCCUCUAGCCAUGGCAUCCCUGGCCCUCCUUGGCUUGGGUGCCUCCACCACCAUCAGGGCCCAAACCGUUCAGCCUCCUUCCUUGCUGCCUGGGCGGUCUACCUCUCUAGGGCCUCUUCCUUCUAAGCUCACUGGAGUUGGCUUCCUUCUCCCUCUCUGGUGACCUCCUCGUCGUCUUCGACAAGCUUCUCGUCGAAACCCUAUGUGACUUCUUCCUCUCUGCACGUGUAGAGCUCGCGGUGAGCACAGGAGGGAGGAAGAGAGGCGGUGGAGGAAGGAGAAGAAUGCGGGGAGAAGGCGAGUGCGAGGGCGACUGGUUGCGCAUGCCUACCGCGUAUUAGAGUUUGCGCUAAAUAAGUGCCAUUCUAGUCUUGUAUGCUUGUCACAAAAUAAACGUCAUUCUCACACAUUUUUCUUCUUCCAAUUCAUCUCUGUUUUCUCUUCUCCAAUACAUUUCUAUCUUUUCCGUUUCCUGAAAUUGACCUGCACUGAUCCCUUGAUGUGAGGAACAGUGGCUCAGAUUUAUGAUGUAAUAUCACAUCCUUUCCAGGGUCUUGCAUGAAAAAUGACCGGCUAAAACUAAAAAAAAAAAACAUGUACGUGACGAUAUGAGCCCCUCGCGGGUUUGGUUCCCUCCCUUAUCCUAUUUCGCUCAUGGCGCUUCUCCUGCGCCUCGCUGCUCCGUCAGCGCCGCCCCGGCGGAGCUCCGGCGGCAGGGCUUUGCCGCGCGUCGUCCUCCCGGAGGCCAUUUCCAGUGAGUGCCACCCAAGUCCUCCUCCGUCCGUUUCCCUCUUUUCCUUGCAUGGCCAUUCCCUCUUUUUCUUUGGAAUUUGGUCUAAUACCUGACUACCUGUAGACGUGCCACGCCUCAAUUUCUCGUGGCCUCCGUUCCUAUCGUUUCACGCUGGCUUAUCCAAUCCAUUGCUCCUCUGAGCAGCAGUUACCUCCAGCCCGUGUGCUCUUCUGGUCUCUAUCGCCUCCGAACUGCUGCGCACCGGAGCUGCUCGACGAAAUGCUCGUUGCUCGCCAUCUCCUCUCUACUUCGGUUCUUUCUGUUUGUUGUACUUGUGCGUGUGCCACUGAAUGUUACUGCAAGCUGCUGGUCUGGUGCUCAGUGCUGUAGUCGUCACAGUGAGGUUUCUAUGAAUCGCAGUGAUAGGAGCUUUAGGGACUCUGAAAUCUUGCGAGAGUGCGAGACGAUGUCUCAUGGGCCAUUGUGUUUUGGUUGAUCCAUUUUCCAAUGGCUGCCUGGAGAUGUGUUUGAUACCAGGUUCACAACUUCAAUAUAUAAUCUCAAAGUCAGCGUGUGCGGGGACUGCCCAAUACAGCCUUUAUUUUUUAAUCUUGUUUGGGCAGAUGACAACUCUUGGCAUCCAGAUCCUUUCCCCCAUAACCUUUUGUUAGUGAUGAUAAUUUGGUCUGAGAGAGGGCCUGUUGUUAAACAUGUCGACGAUUAACUAGUCUUAGCAAGUUUUUCUUGCUCUUUCUUGUGAUGUGAGAGAAGAGGGCAGUAUUAUCCUAAGAGGUGUUGUUUGACUUCAGUAUAGCUGUGCUAAUGCUUAGCUAGGUGCUUUUGUUAUUGUGAGGGGCUCUUAUGCAAUAUGCACUCCCUUUAAAAGGAAAUACAGCUUUGACCUUUGAAUAGCCUCCAUUCUAGAACUUGCUUCUAUCACGUAUUCACGUCCACAUCUCUCCAUUGCUACAUAGCAGCAUAUAUCUCUGGUUACUUGCACUAUGCGCUUAAAGUGAGUGCUUUUGUAACAAAAUCACUCACUUUAAGUUUGUAAAUUCUUUGUUUGCCUAGAAGAGUAUUGCCACUUGGUCUUUAAUGUUUCAUCCUUGCUUUGUGGUUCUGCCUGAAAACCAGGAAAGAAAAAUUCCAUCUUUUUGUUGCCAUUCCCAUGCAUGUAUUAUUUCCAUAGGAUCACAUUGUUAAGUUAAUAUGGUCAUUGUAUUGGGUAGAGUUUAACUUUACACCUGUUUAGUUAAUUUAAUGAAGUAUUUGACAGCAUUAAGAAUGUGUAAGUUAGUGCUCAUUUUUGUGUUUUUUUCUAGAAUGUGAUGUCACUACUGAUCAUGAUUAACCAAAUUUAUAAUCCAUCUUUCUGACAAAGUCAUUGCAAUACUUACACAAUGUCAUGCAAAAUUUUACUCUAGGUAACUAAUUCACUUUUUACAUGCAGAACAAUCAUUUCUUCUUCCUUUACGAGUUGACAACACUGCAAGUCUGUCCUGUCCUAUUAAGUGUUCAGCGGCUCGGCAUGCCCCAUCACUGAUUGAUCACACCGAUUCUAGGAAUGGUGGCAUCCAUGCAGCUAGUGUAUAUGGACAUGAUCUCAUGAAAUCCAUAUCUGAUCUUCAGGUAUGAUGGUGAGUCCCUUUCUCUAUUUUUAGCAUGUAUCACCUGUUAACAUAAACAACCCUUUAAUUUAAAAUAAGGCAUAAGGGGACUUAACUUUUCCUAAUAAUUAAAACUAACCUAGUACUGUCUUAUUGAACACAGCUUAAAUUUUUCUCCUUGCAAAUUUUGUAUGGAAACCUCAGCUAUAAUAACUCAUUAUUUUCUUAUACUUGUCGCAGGAAGUUGUAUUUUCUUCUUUUAGCAAAGCAUGUCUUCUCAGUAGUUGUAUCAUAUAUGGUCUACCACCCAGUUGUAUAGCAGAACCAUGUGAGCAAGCAUACUCUCUCCCUAACAUGCCUUUGCUAUUCGCGAUAGCCAUGGUUGGUGCUACUGUUGGAGGUAAGCUCAUCACACUCUUAACUUAUAAGAAUCUUUCAGGCAUAGAACGUUGGUUGGAGCUUGAGAACUGAUUGUGGAUUUAAAGAUGACAAUACACAGUGGACGGUUUCCUUACUUCUGUGUUUAUGUUUUUUAAUGGUCAUCAACAUCAUAUGUUGUUACAAAUGAUUUAAAUAUCUGAGCAUUAAGAGCACACACUAAAUCACUUCUAAUUCCAUGGAAAUGCAAGAGCAUGCUAUGCACUCUUGCAAGUUAAUACUUGUCAAACACAACUUUUUUAUGUUUGAUUGCUUCUUCCCCAGUUUCUUAUUUAGCUGUGCAUUUUGUUAAAUAUAAAACAUUAUACAUAGGAAUGCAUAUUCAGAUGCAACAAAUGCAGAGUGCAAAGAAAAUUACAUUUAGGAGCAUCCUAGUUAUCAUACCUAUGUUCGAUUGCUUUUUCCCCAGUUUCCUUAUUUAGCAGUGCAUUUUUGUUAAAUUUAAACAUAAUACACAGCAACUGAAACAGAUGCAAAUGCAAAUGCAACAAAGAAUGAAUGCAAAGAAAAUUACAUUUAGGAGCAUCCUAGUUAUCUUACUGAUUACCUUCCCUGUUUCUUUUAACUAUAACUGGGUUGUUGAUUUUGCAUGCAUGGUUUCUGCAUCAUGUUGAACAAUUCAGAUAUCCUGUAGGGCUCCUUGCGAGACAGAGGAGAGGGGAGCUUGCACGUCUAAAUGAUCAAUUACGUCAGAUAAAUGCUGCACUGAGAAGACAAGCCAAGAUUGAAUCUUAUGCUCCUGCCUUGAGCUAUGCCCCAGUUGGUAGUAAGAUACCGGAAUCAGAAGUUAUUGUUGAUCCUCAGAAAGAGCGCCUAAUUGCAUAUCUCAGGACUGGGAAGAACUAUCUGAGAAACCAAGCUCCUGAGAAGGCAUUUCCUGAGUUUAAGGCAGCUCUUGAUCUUGCACAAUCUUUAGGUGAUCAUGUUGAAGAGAAGAAGGCAGCACGAGGAUUAGGUUUGUUCAUUAUUUUGUGAAAUUAUAGUUUCAUGGUUUGGUUUCACAGAUAGUUUCAUGGAAUUGUGAGAAUAUUCCUUUUUUGAUUUGGUUAAAUGCUACAUAGUAUGCAGGAGUACAAGUUCAAAAAUGUUAACGAAGGAAAAUAUUUUCAGGCAUGUUUAACCAAGUUAAAAAUUGAUCAUAUAAACAUAAUAGAAUUGUUAGUGUGUCCCCCAUUAAACUUGAAGUUCUUUCCCCCCUCACCAUACAGCAAAAAUGCAAACCACAGACAGUCUGAUGUGUUUGUGAAAAGUAACGAAGUUGCUUUGCAUUCGCCAGGGGCAUCCUUGCAAAGACAAGGCAAGUACAAGGAAGCCAUAAAUUAUCACUCCAUGGUGCUAAACAUCUCCAAGAUGACCGGAGAGGAUGCAGGUGUCACUGAAGCAUACGGAGCAAUAGCAGAUUGCUACACCGAGCUUGGUGAGCUCGAGAAGGCAGGCAAGUUCUAUGAUAAGUACAUAGCAAGAUUGGAGAAUGAAUGAGAACAACAGCGCUGAUCGGAAAAAUCUGUGAGAGCAAAGACAAAGAUAAUGCUAAUCGUGUCUCUAUCUUUUUUUUUGCUUGCCAUGUAUUCUACUGUAGAUGUGCAGUUCCCAGCUGGAACUGAUGUUUGCUAUCACGACUCGAGUUUCUUUUUGGCGGAAUUAUCUAAGAUGUUUAGGUACAGAUCAGUAUCAUGCCGUGUACGUAGUUGUUUUGAUAAUUAGUGGCUCAAAUGGUCCGUACAUGCACUCUUGUCAAUGUGCUAUUUUGUGCUGGUUUAAUUUUGUAGUUUUGCUAUAUCAUGCCCUUGGUGAAAAUCUUUCCUCCUACUCAUGAAUAGGCUUUCCGUUUCUUUUCCUUUUUUUCCUUUUUAAAUAACGUACAUGGAAUAAAAGUAAGAUUCCAGUGAAAUUUUUCCCUCCCACAAAUCAACUUUAGUUACUCUAAAUUUACAUUUAACUUGUACUAGAGUUCAAUGUUUUAUGAUCGUCCGAUUAAUCAUGAUUAAUCAUUCUUACAGGUACUUAGCAUUUCUUUAGGGCUUCCGAUUCGAUUAGAGUGAUUAGAAACCUAAUCGUUUGAUUAAUCAUGAUUAAUAAUGAUUAAUUGUUAAUUAAUCGUGAUUAAUCGUCGAUUAAGUCUCUUGCCCAAUUAGAGCUUAAUUGGCAGAUGGGCUGCUUUUGGCCAGGGCUAAAUUUAUUUUGGCUAGACCUAUUAGAGUUUCUCUUAUAUACCUCACCUCCACUUUCUCUCUCUCCUUAGUUCUUACUCUCAACUCUAGCCGUUAGCUGCUGAGCUUGUUGCUCAUGCAUUUGCUGAGCUGCUGAGCCUGUGUGCAUCUCACUCCCUCCUCUCUCCCUUCUAGUUUCAAUCCAAGCAACCUGUUGCUGCUUGCUGCUUCCUCCUCCCUCUUCCCUGCUGUCUGCUUCCUCCUCCCCCUUGCUGCAACUACAACUAUAUACAUAUAUGAUAUAGUCAUGCUAUGUGCUAGACGAUUAGACCGAUCAGAGGUUGAUUAAUCGUCCUGAUCGGUACCAGACAGAUUAGAAACGAUAAGCCGAUUAGAAAAAAUUGUUAGAGUUAAUGUGGUUGUUUUGGUACAAUUUCAUGAUAUGUUUGGGUGGAAAGUCGCCUAUCCCACACUACAAUUUUAGUUAAUGUCAACUUAUGUUAGAUUUACACUCAACUUGUACUAGAGUUAUGGUGAUUAUUUUGCUGUAAUUUCUAGAUAGAAUUGGUGUAGGCCUUGUUUAGUUCCUAAAAAAAUUUGCAAAAUUUUUUAAAUUUCCUGUCACAUCAAAUCUUUAGACGCAUGCAUGAAGUAUUAAAUAUAGACAAAAAUAAAAACUAAUUGCACAGUUUGGUCGAAAUUGACGAGACAAAUCUUUUGAGUCUAGUUAGUACAUGAUUGGAUAAUAUUUGUCAAAUACAAACGAAAGUGGUACUAUUCCUAUUUUGCAAAAAAAUUUGGAACUAAACAAGGCCUAACUAAAAAAUCUGACUAUGGAGAAUGAAUAUUUCACCCAAUUCUUAAAAAACACAUUUAAUAUAGGUGUGAAACUUCUCUAAAACCUUUUUCCCCCUUAUAACAUGUUCAAAAACUAGUAGAGAAGUUUCACCUGAGUAGUCUUUGGCAAUCAAAGAUACGUGGUCAGUAAACUGGACUUUGACAUUCGGAAAAUUGAACUUGAGUGUUGGCAACUUUUCAAGUUUCAACAUGUGUGCUUGAAGAUGCGCUUGAUCAAAUUUCAACAAAACUAAAUACACAGUAUUCCUAGGACCGUAAAUUGAUCAUUGUUAUGUAACAUCCAAAUAAAUAAAUAUAUCUCAUUAGUUAAUUUGAUAUGCGUGAUCUUAGCUACUUCCCAUUCAUUAAGUUUAUCCCCCACUAGAGCUCUCCAGAAUGAAAUAUUUAAUGGUGUUGAUCUCAUAACAUUGGUCACUCUAUCAUGCGGAUCUAGAGCUCUCUGGAAUAAAAUAUUUAAAGGUGUUGAUCUCAUAACAUUAGUCACUAUAUCAUGCGAACGAUUUGCAUAAUAUUAUAUAGUGUGGGAUAAAGGUCUUUGAAUGGCGGUUGCCUUCCAUUAUUAAUUUUGAAGGAACCAUAAGCCAAAGUCUGAUCUUUUAUUUUCAUAAGACCCUUCCAAAAAUGAGUGUAGGAGAGAUUUUGAGCUUAGAUACUUGUCUCUAAGCAAGGGCACCACCCUUUUACGCGGCAACUUUGGAACGAACAUAGCUCAAUGUCAUGUUUCAUUGUAGUUUUUUUUAUUAAAAUGACAACACAUUAAUAGAACUACAGGGAUGCAAGGAAACCAGUGCUGUGAAAGUCCGGAGAAAAAAAUAAGUCAAAACAGGAAAACGGAAAAAGAAAAUAGCACGGGACACUCUGCAUAGAGCACGAGACAGUUGAUCUGAAGUUGUGGCAAAUUAUCGAGGAGAUCAUUAGGGACUAUAAUAUUUUGGCGCAAUUUUCCAUUAAGUAUAGGAUGUGUCAGUGUUUUUUUUUUGCUUGUUUCGAGAGUGGGUUGUCUCACUCUCGCAAGUAAGUAGGGAUGAAAACGGUACGAAUAUUUUUCGACCGUAUUCGAGACUAAAUUUAUUUAGAGGGGUUUAGAUCUGUUUGUAUCUGAGUCCGAAUAUUCAACAUCUGAUACCAUAUCCGUAUCUGAAUACUUAAAUCGUAUAUUUAUGAUGUCGAUAUCCAAUCAUAUCUUAUCCAACAUGGUUGACAUUAUCCGUAUUCGAAUCUAAAUCUGACCAAAAAUAUGAAAACAAAUAUGAUAUCAGUGAUAUCCGUCCGUAUCCGAUCCAUUUUCAUCCCUACUUGUAAGUUUCAAGUAAUUGUUCACAAAAGAGAACAAGGACCGGACUGUGCAACAAAAAAGUGCAGUGGCACGGACAAUCAUAUGAAAUCUUAUGUAAGAUUUUUUUCCUUAUCUGGUACAUUUGGAAGGCUCACAAUGACAAGAGGUUUCAGCGGAGAACAUGGACAUCUCACCAGAUCCAACAAGCAGCAAAUGCCCAUAUAAACUCUCACUUGGAUGCUCUAAAUGAACAGACCCUCUCUCAUUUACAUAAUUCCCUACUUCCUACUCAUAACAGAUAUGCAGGAACACAUCAAGGAAGCCACCAAUCGAUCUCGGCGACAGACCAACUACUGGUUUGUUCUCUAACAUCUAUUGCAGGAAUCCGGUGCUAUACAGAUGCAUCGACGACGCUAGACACUACUGCAUCGGUUCCUAGACAGGUGGGUCUAGGAAUUUUCAUCAUCAACACUGAUGUACAACUACCACUAAGCAUAUUCAUCAAAGCCACUAUGCAGGACUCUUCUUCAGUGAUCAUGGCAUAAUCUGCUGCUAUGGUAUUGGUAGCAUAACUGCUCAAUCAUCUCCAAGGUCAUCAAAAGACGCUAUUGUCGGAUUCCCUAGUUAUGAGAGAUAGAGUUUCCUCUCGGGGAGGGAACUCUAUCGGAUAGAUAUUUCUAGUUAGAAUUCAUAAUCUAGGUAUAACACUGUAGAGGAGAUAUACUUCCCUCUGGGAAAGGGUAGUAUAUCGAUAGGUAUAGAGAGGGAGAGUUUGCUUUCGGGAAGGGAACUCGACUGGAGUCCUAGUAGGAGCAUAUGGUAUGACACAAACAGGGGUAUUUUUCUUGAGAGAUUUGCCCCAAAACGCGAUUUUGGGGCUUUCAGGUGUCAUAUCAUUAGGGCAUUAACAAAGAUGUGCUACAGCGCAUAUUUGUUAAUAAGCUUAUUGGCUUGAUUUCUUCUUCGAAGAAAUGCCUACGCGUACGUACACGCGUAUGUGUACCUAUGUGCGCGUAUGAUCUAUAUACGCGCACGUCCGUGCGUGCGAUCUAUAGACGCACGCGUACGCCUGCGCGCAUUACUACUUACGCACGCGCGCUAGACUCACUCUGUUCGCAAUAAUCUCCCUACGGUCAAUUAUUGCUCACUCCGUUCGUCUGCACUCUGCUACGCUUCGGUAUAGAUAACCUUCCCUGACAGGAAAGAACAUCUCUACCUACGCUACGCUAUAGGAAGGGAGUGCGGGGCGCCGCUCCCUUCCGUCAAUAGAGCUUAUUUUUCAAAAAUACUAUCAUCGAUUUUCCUGCCAGGGAAGUCGAUGAGAGGAUUUUCAAAGUCAAGUUUAGGGUUGAUGGAGUUUGACUGAACAUUUUGAUGAAUCCCCAAAAGGCCGUAUCAAAUGACAUUAGUCUGAGUCCAUCUUCCCUUGCUAUUGACGUAUAGGUAUGCGUAUGCAUGUCUUUCGACACUUAUCCAAGAUUGGAGUAAGCAAUCAUAGCCCAUCCUAUGAUCAUGAUAUGUUUUUCUUGGGAUUUUAUUGUUUUUUCAAUUGGUUAUUGCCAUGGAGAUAUGGUUUCCUGGGAGGGAACCAUAUCGAUAGACAGAUAGAGUUUCCUUUCGGAAAGGGAACUCUAUCGGAACUGAGAUAUGCUUUUCUUGGAGGAGGGAAGCCUAUCGAAGCCGCCCCGCAGGGCCUCCGGAAAUAUAAAUAAUAUCCCCUUUCUUGGUUUAUUUAUCUACCCUUGUAUCCCAAGAUGGAUAAACUAUCUAAUAUAGGUUAGGUAAGGAUAGAGCUAAAGAUUGAUUGGGUAUCACGAACGGAUAGAAAUCGGAGAAGAGUUCUAUCUGUUCGUGGAUAAGAGAAGACUAGUUAUCAGAGGGAAGGGUGGAAUGAAACAAUCCAGGGUCAAACGAAGAUACUUGUUCGCCUAGCCCCAUGUGUAUCCGUAUCCUUCCCUGUUUUGAGAAUCUCAUAUUUCUUCGUAGCACGUGUGUCCUUUGUAUGUUCCGUCGCCUAUUUCUGGAUAAGUAGAUUUUCUACCAACCAAGUAGAAUCGAGAAUCAGCAGCUGAGAAUGCGGGGCACCCUGCUUUUGUCCUCUGCCCGUCUCAUCGCCUUAUGAGCAGUCAAAAUAUAGGUUUUGCUUACAGUCACGUGGUCUGCCUCGUGCUUCUUCGCUUAUUCAAUGCUUUCUCUGGCAUCCUACAACUCCCUUACAUCCCUAUGUCGGCUAUCCACCCUUCUUUACCAAGUGACCGGAAUCCCCUAUACUCCUCCAACGAACUACAAACGUAGGCUUUCAAGGAAUAACUGCUAUUGAAAGGAAGACUCAAAUCAGCAUAUAUCAUUGCUAUUGGAAUGUUUGAGCUGGAAUUCGAAUAUUAACUGAUGAAUGACCGCGGAGAGCUGCUAGAAAGACCAAAAAAAGUGCAUAUCCUUCCUUCCAAAUUUGAUACAUUCCGUGUUACUCCAACAGCUCGUGAACUUUCUAAAUGGAUCCAAUCUCUCCAAUCCUCCUGACUGGAUAAUCAAACCAUAUACUCAGAUCACUGCUACUCUUUUAUCAGGAACAAACUCAGUAGUACACUGGAUUAGAAGAACCCAUAAUCAGAUGGCUGACUCCCUAGCAAGACAGACUUAGUGCUUUACAAAAUAAUCAGAUUGACUAUUCAAGAUUCUUUACUAAUUCUAGUCAUGCUAAUGAUUAUCCCAUUCUUAAGGCAAUCAAUGAUGUAACCAUUAACACUAUAAUGAUCCUAACAGCCUCAUGCUGUUAAUAUAAUUAUGGUUUACUUAUAAUAAAAAAAGAACAUGCAUGUUUCUUAAGAGAAAGACAACAACACAUUCAGAAAACCACCGAGACAGUCAGGUCCAUUCCGAAAACUAUUUUGUGGGUGGCCUGCAAGCUAAGGCCUUGUUUAGAUGCGAAAUUUUUUUGGAUUUCGCUACUGUAGUAUUUUCGUUUGUUUGGGGUAAAUAUUGUCCAAUCAUAAACUAAUUAGGGUCAAAAGAUUCGUCUUCUUCAUGUAUGUGCCGCAAGAUUCGUUGUGACAGAGAAUCUUGAAAACUUUUUUGUUUUAGAGUGAACUAAACAAGGCCUAACAUACGGAUUACUGUCCACUCUUUUUUCAUAAAAAAAAACUGUCCACUCCACUGCAGCUCAACAGGCACGCAGGAUUCAUGUAGCUCGGGUCUUCUUUAAUUUUUUUUCAAGAUUCUUCAUUCUAUCGAAUCUUUAGACGUAUGCAUAGAGCAUUAAAUAUAAAUAAAAAGUAACUAAUUAUAUAGUUUGUCUAUAAUUUACAAAUCUUUGAGUUUAAUUAGUCUAUAGUUAAACAAUAAUUGCACAAUAUAAAUGAAUGUGGUAUAGUAGCUAAACCCGAAAAAUUUCGGGAACGAAACGAGGCCUCAACAGGCGUGAGAUAAAAUGCAGUUUUUUUUUAUCUACUUGCAUGCAUUGGUGGGCAUCAUUAGUAGAGCCACACGCUGUGACAUAAUUAAGGUGCCUGCUUCAACCAAACCGAUGUCCAGAACUCUAAUUUGGGGGAAAGGAAAAAAACUGACAUGUAACACUGUUCAUGCUCUUUGGCCCAGAUUUUACUUCUCUAUGUCGAUAGAUCGAAUUCCACAGCAUGUCAUCAGUAUUAUUCUUUCAAUUCAAAAAUCGUGCUCUAAUUCUCUUUGCACACAAUCUCUGUCUCAUGCACACAUGCAAGUAAAUAAAGAAGAAUUACAUUCUAGAGACAGCCCCAGCUUGCACAUGGUUGGUCAGCUGCCUUCUCAGUAUCUUGCCAGCCGGAGACUUGGGUAUGGAGUCGACGAAGAGCACCUUGCGGAUCUUCUUGUAAGGGGCCACCCUCUUUGCGACGUGGUCUAUGACUUGAGCCUCCGUGACCUUGCUACCAGGCUGCCUGACCACAAGCGCCACCGGUAUCUGCCCUGCCUCCUCAUGAGGAUACCUGUAAACAAAUUCAGUGAAACCAUCAGACGAUAUAUAUAAUAUAACUGAGCAUGUUUUGCAACUCUCUGGCAACGUGUGUGGCGUUGUAGUGGGGACUCACGGCAUGACUGCGGCAUCGAUAACUUCCGGCAAAGACUGCAGGACAAGCUCCAGCUCUGCAGGUGGAACCUGCAGCGACAAAUAUAUACACCCAGUGACCCAGAUCAUCAUCAGUCUGAAACUGCAAGGGUGACAAUCUAUGUGCUUUGAAAACAAGACCAAAUUAAACUGCAAAGUAAUUAACCUGAUAGCCCUUGUACUUGAUGAGCUCUUUCAGCCUGUCCACCACGAACAAGAAGCCGUCCUGAUCAAUGUAGCAAAGGUCCCCAGUCCUAAGCCAUCCUUCAGAGUCAAAACUACUAGCGUUGGCCUCCUCGUCGCCAACAUAUCCUGCAAUUCAUGAGAACAUAUAUUUUUUGAGCUGAAAAAGAUGAGAAAGAACCCCCUCAAAAAAAAUCUGAAUCCAGCUGCAGCGCAGCAUCAGCUUAAUUUAUCAUGCAUGCAUGUUAGGCUCUGGUGGUUAUAUUACCAGUCAUGACGGCAGGCCCUCUCACGAGAAGCUCCCCUUUUUGGCCCACGGACAGGGCAUUGCCGGUGACGUGGUCCACGAUCUUCACCUCCACGUUCUCCGAGACACGGCCGGCGGAACCGAUGCGGGCGCACUCCUCCCGGCUGAUCAUCAGCGAUAUGCCACCAGCCUCAGUUGAACCGUAGCCCUGAAACAAAUGAAGCCACCGAUGCAACUCUCUUCUCAGUUCAUUCCAAAGGAAAACUGCGUGCAUGUUUUCUUGACCGGAUGGCGGUAAAGCCGUAAAGGUCUUUACGAACCAAUGCCUUUUGGACUGUGACAAAUUUUCUUUGGGGCUUGGCCAACAAGAGAGAUGCUCUCUUGGAUGCUCAACCAUCGAUGCAGCUACAGUUAGCUGUUGACUGGGCAGAAAAAAUACGUCUUAUAAGAUAAGCAAAUGAGAGAGGUUGGACCCCAACAACAAACAGAUGCCAUUCCUAUGGCGACCACAUACUAGAUCAAAUAAUUCUCUCUUUCUCUGUUGUCUUACAAUUAAACUAGUGAGUAUUUUUGCUAAAGUAAAGGAUAGAAGAUACAAAAGCUUGACUCUCAUAUAGUAAGCAACAAGCUAGUUAUGGGUGUAGGACCGUCUCUACAAUUUUAAAGACCCUUAUCAAGCAAGAUGGUAAGAGUCCAUUAAACUAGUUUUUCAACACACCCAAUAAAUACUUGUAGGCAAUAUCUAUCCUAGAAAAUAAAUAUACAUAAUGAAAAAUUAGAACAUACUCUGUCCAUCCUAAAUGUUUAUCGUUUUUGCUUUAAAAAACAACUUUGACUAAAUAUAUAUUUAAAAAUAUUAAUAUUUAUGACUCGUAAUUAGUAUCAUUGGAUAAAUAUUUAAAUCUAUUUUUUUAACAAAUUUAUUUACACAAAUAAAUAUUACAUGUAUUAUCUACAAAUUAAAUUAAACUUAUCGACACGUAAACAAUGGCGACACAUUCACCCAAAAAAUCAAAAACAUUUCAUGAUUCCUCAUCAAAUCGAAUCUUUCGGUACAUAUAUAGAGUAUUAAGUAUAGGUGAAAAUAAUAACUAAUUGAACAUCUAAUUACUCCAUAAUUAGACAAUAUUUGUUAAAUAAAAAUAAAAAUGCUAACGUGUCAAAAUUUUAAAACUUUUUCGAUCUACUUUGUACUAAUAUUUGAGUAGAAAGGAAUCAUGCCGAAGCCUAAAAGCUGCACAAAAUGACAAAAGCUAAGCACUCGCAUGUCCAGUCAUCUGCAGCGAGCAACUGUGUCAGGAGCUCCGCAUUGGCAGCAGAGUGGUUAUAGUACAUAGUACGACGGUACGAGUACUACGGCCUUGUUUAGUUCACCAAAGAUCAAUAAAUUUUCAAGAUUCUCUAUCACCUCGAAUCUUUCGACACAUGCAUAAAGCAUUAAAUAUAUAUGAAAAUAAAAAUUAAUUACACAAUUUAAUGCUUCAUGCAUAUUCCGAUUUAAAUGAGCAACGAGGUGGCCAAAAAAAGGCGCAAGAUCAUGAUCAAUGUUGGGUCACGCGCCUGAGCAAAAUCAUUAUUCUCUCGGGGGUUUCCGGAUUGUCAGUUUGAUAACUAGGAUUUGUUUAGUUCACCUCAAAAAUCAAAAAAAUUUUAAGAUUCUCCAUCAUAUCAAAUCUUGCGGCACAUGUAUGAAACAUUAAAUAUAGAUAAAAAUAAAAACUAAUUGCAUAUUUUAUCUGUAGAUCGUGAGACAAAUCUUUUGAUUCUAGUUAGUUUAUGAUUGAACAAUAUUUGCUACAAAUAAACGAAAGUGGUACAAUAGCGAAAUCCAAAAAUCUUUUCACAUGUAAACAAGGCACAAGAAUAGCAGCCCUAGAACGUACGAGUAGUGGAUUCACGAUCAUGAUCAUGAUCAUACUAGGGCUUAGCAGCCCUUAUUUUUUUGGGCUAGUUGGGCUUAGCAGCCCUGAGUUGGUGACAGUUGUGUUAAUCAGCACACGUGACACGCGUUCCGUCCUUUGGAUCAACCGGUGUCCGUCGAUGAUGUGAACCAGAACGCCUCCUGGUCCUCGGCAUGCAUGCGCCUUGUUUAGUUCCAAAAUUUUUAAGAAAAUAGACACUUUUAUUUAUAUUUAAUAAAUAUUGUUGAAUCAUAAACUAAUUAUACUUAAAAACUUUAUCUCGUAAAUUAUAGAUAAAUUAUACAAUUAGUUAUUAUUUUUAUUUUUAUUUAAUAUUUUAUAUAUGGUUCGCAAGAUUCGAUACGACUAAAAAUCUAAAAUUUUUUAUAAAACUUUUUAGAACUAAACAAGCGCAGGCCUCGGUCGUAUCGUAUGGACGGCCACGGUCGACAUGCGUUGGUGGCGUGCGCCUGUUAUUUUUGCCGAUCGAGGGUCCGCUGUACCGUGUACCCAAGUCAGCAGUGGAGCCGACACACUCGAGACUUGUUUAUAUGUAAAAAGUUUUUUGGAUUUUAAUACUACAAUAUUUUUAUUUUUAUUUGAUAAAUAUUAUUUAAUCAUAGAGUAACUAGGUUUAAAAAAUUCAUUUCAUCAUUUACAGAUAAAAUGUGUAAUUAGUUUUAUUUUCAUGCAUGUACCACAAGAUUCGAUAUAUAUGCAUUUCUUUGCAGCGGCAUUUUCGGUUAAUAUAAUAUAUCCACCUCACCUGAUCUCUAUAGUUCAAUUUGAGUCUUCGAUUUAGCAGGGAAUCACAUGCAUACAUUUCCUAGUACUAACUAGUACAUGUCAAUAGCUACUACUCCAUCCAUUCCAAAUUGUAAGUCAUUCUAAGAAUUUUGAAGAGUCAAACUUUUCUAAGUUUGACCAAAUUUAUAUUAUAAAAUAAUAAUUAUUAUGGUACUAACUAAGUAUCAUUAGAUUCUUUCUUAAUUAUAUUUUCAUAGUAUACUCACUUUACGUUACAAAUUUUAGUAUUUUUCUCUAUAAUUUUGGCCAAACGUGAAAAUAUUUUGACUCUCUAAGAUUCUUGAAAUGACUUACAAUUUAGGAUGUAAGGAGUACAAUGCAAGGACCACCUUUGAGAUAAGAGUAGGUAGCUCAUGCCCACCGUGAUAUACUAACUGUGGGGCCAAGGGGCAAUGUAAUGGAUCACCAAAGAAUUGGCUUAUGGUACCUCAUCGCAUAAUAUCUAGAUACGAUUUGAAAUGGAGAGAGAGUAUUAAUUUGUAGGCUAGAUGUUAUUUGGACCCAAUAGUAGAAGCUGGAUGUAUUGAUGGUUUUGUUCUCCACAUUUUAAAGACUACUAUUGUUAGAACAUGUGGGAGAUAGGCAUGUGAGAGGGCAAAAGCACCUUUUAGCAAUCUAUUAACUGUUGUUAGCUAGUUUAGGACAGCUAGUAUAUAAGAUAGUUAUUAGCUGGAUACUUUUAACUAAUAAUUACCUGGCCUCUACUAGAUAAGCAUAUAAUUACGAUCCACCUCAAAAACUACUUAUUUUUAGUAGCUAGCUGGUGGAUCCACACAGGACCUUAAAGACUUGCACUUGUUUUUUCUUUCAAAAUAGGAGUAUGUAUUAAUAUUUCGAGCAAUUUUUAAGGCCUUGUUUAGUUACAAUUUUUUUUGAAAAUCGACAAUGUAGCACUUUCGUUUGUAUUUGACAAAUAUUGUCUAAUCAUGGAUUAACUAGGGUUAAAAGUUUCGUCUCAUCAAUUUCGACCAAACUGUGUAAUUAGUUUUUAUUUUCAUCUAUAUUUAAUACUCUAUGCAUACGUCUAAAGAAUCGAUGUGACGGGGAAUUUGAAAAAUUUUAUAAAAUUUUUUAGAAACUAAACAAGGCCUAAUAAAAGAAAAGAAGAGCUUGAAUGCUAGUAGACGCAUGGUUUCGUACAGUACUAUACUCAAACCAUUAUUACUGCACUAAAACCUGUUUCUCGGAUCACCUUCAUUUAGUUAUAAACCAUUUUAUUCUAGGACCUAGAGCAAGCUAAUGAUAAUGCAGCGACAUCAUCGCCAUACAAGUCAAUUUCGACUAAGUGUAUCAUUUCACAAAGUUCAGUGAUCCGCUAAUUUUUGGCGUUCUUUUCUGGGCAUUGCUCCGUAAUUAAGCGAACAAGAUUUCAACAAAAACCGUCAAUUUGUUUUAUCGUUUUAUUAAAUUCCACCAGUAUAUGCAAUGAUUCGAAUAGAAAUCGACUACUGUAACAACGCUAUCUAGCUCACAUCAUAAUUAAUUACUUGACUGAAAGCGACGACACUCACCAUGCAUAGAUCCACGUUGGGGAACCGUCGUCGGAAACUGUCGGCUGCCGUCCUCGGCAGCGGCGCGCCGCCACACACCACGCGCUCCAGUGCCUCCAGGCGGCACCGCUCCUUGGCCAUGGCCACCACCACCGGUGGCGACGCCGUCAUCUCAGCGACCGCCCACCUCUCCGCCGCCUCGACCACCCCCUUCACGCCGCGCCGCGCCACCGCGUCGGUCACCACCACCGUCGUGUGCCCCAGCGCCACACCCUUCAGCGCGGAGUAGAACCCCAGCGAGUGGAACAUGGGCGCGCCCAGCAGCGUCCUCUCGCGACCGUGCCUCGGUUUCCCGAGCACAGCGUGGGCUCCUGCCACCAUCGCGACGAAGCUCCGGUGCGGCAGCGCCGCGGCCUUCACCCGCCCUGUUGUCCCCGACGAGUACUGGAUCACCGCCGUGUCCGACUGCCGCACCUCCGCCAGUCCCUCCUCCCCACGGCCGUCGUUCUGCCUCUGCAGAAAGGAGCGGAAGCGGUCCGAGUCGAGGAGGAUGGUGGGGAGGCCAGCCGGCAGCUUUGCGGUGGUCGCCGACACGGCGAAGGCGACGGACGCGCCCGACAGCGCCACGAGGCGCGCGACCUCGUCCGCGGUGAGCGUGGGGUUUACCGGCGACACGACGGCGCCGAACGAGAGCAGCGCAAAGUAGAGCACCGGGAUGUCCAGCCGCGUCGGCGCGAGGAUGAACGCGACGUCGCCGCGGCCGAGCCGGACCACGGAGCGAAGCGCCCCCGCGAGCGCGCGCACCUGGGACAGGAACUCCGGGAACGAUAGGACCUCGCCGGUGGCGGCGUCGAGGAGAGCCGGGUGCGCGGGGAGCGGGGACGACGUCAGGCGCGAGAAGGCGAACUCCGGAAACGAGACCGGCGCGUCCGGCGGCGGCAGCGGCACCGGCGGGCGCAGGCUACGGAACGUCCUGGUCACCUCGCAGUAGCCGCUGCGGCUGUCCACGCCGCCCGGAGCAGCGCCGUCGGCGUUGGCCGCAGGCGCGGGAGUGGCCAUUUCUUCUCGGCACCUGGUGGUGACUGGUGACUGCGGUGGUUGGUGAUUUUGUCGUGUGCCGUCUUCGGGUUUCAGCUGGGGUUUUUCUUAUAGAGAUCUGUGUGGCAAAAGUGGCAACAGCCAACAUUGCAAGGGGCCAAGCAGGCGCAGGCUGUGUGAUACGGUACAAGCCAGCCACCUAGCCCGUGCUUGGUAGGUGACCUGCAGUCCCGUAAUUACGGACUAGUGACAAGUGACAGCAUUAUUAGGCAUGUUUCUUCUGUUGCUAAAAGUUCUGGAACGCUGGGUUAGGGGUUGCAUCAGUGCAUGCAUACAAAUCCGCCACUAGGGCCUCAUUGUUUUCUUCUUCGAAUUAAGGUCUUGUUUAGUUCACCUGAAAACCAAAAAGUUUUCAAGAUUUCCCGUCACAUCGAAUCUUAUGGCACAUGCAUGAAACAUUAAAUAUAAACGAAAACAAAAACAAAAACUAAUUACACAGUUUAGUUGUAAAUCACGAGACGAAUCUUUUGAUCCUAGAUAGUCCAUGAUUGGAUAAUAUUUGUCACAAACAAACGAAAGUGCUACAGUAUCGAAAACUUUUCACUUUUGGGAACUAAACAAGGCCUAAUAUUCCAAAUCUGCAAGACACGCUUAUCACGUGAUGGGGAUUGGAGUGACAUGAAAGGCAUAUUGUUUCUACCUGCGUAGGUAGAGUAGACUGCGGUGCUGUGCUUCACAAAUCGUGCGUUUGUAGUCACGCUUUAGUUGGCAAAAUGAAAAGUUUUCGGAUACUGUAGCAUUUUUAUUUGUUUGUGAUAAAUAUUGUCCAAUUAUGUGUUAACUAGGCUUAAAAGAUUCAUCUAGCGAUUUACAGUCAAACUGUAUAGUUAGUUUUAGUUUUUAACUAUAUUUAUUAAUUCUCCAUACAUGUGCCGUAAGAUUCGAUGUGACAGGAAAUCUUAAAAAGUUUUUGUUAGCAAAAACAAUCUUAGGAGAUAUCCUCUCUUAGAUUGGCACAUCUAGAGCCCCAUAAAUGGUUAGACGGUCUCUUGACAAACAUUGGCGAAUCGAGGAUUUUGUCUAAGGGCAUGCCGCCCAAAAAAAUUUAUAUGCUAUUUGGUAAAUCCAUUUCAGCAAUUCAGUAAUUAUUGUAAAAUUGACAAGAUAAUUCGGUAUAUAUACACUAAUUAACAUAAAAAGGCUUAAAUUCAAUAAUUAAGUUCAAACCAUCCACUAAGUGUAGUAUAAAUAGUUCAAAAACCAUACUGAUAAUUGAAAUAAGGCAUAAAAGAGAAUCAGAUACUUACAAUAGUAAUUUUAUGACUACUUUAUUCGACGCUUUUAAAGGGACAUAAAUGUCUUAAUUAUAUCAUUUUCAUCUGACAAUCAUCUACUCUUAACAUUGUUUUCACAUAAACCAUUGCAGAAAAUGCAUGUUCAACACUUGCUGUUGCCACAGUUAAAAACAAUACCAAUUUUAGGAGCUCAUAAGCCAUAUCAUAUACGAAGAACAAAGUGAAUCUCAGCUGAACAAUUUUUGAAUAGAAAAUCACCUAGCUGCCGAUGUCGUACCGAACGAGAUCACAAGGACGAAGAUGAUUGGACAAUGAUAGGCCUUGGGAGAUAGUCGACCGCCGACAGCAUGAACGUGAAUGGCGGUUCCGAAAAUUUUGGAUUUCGGUAUUGUAGCAUUUUCGUUUUUAUUUGAUAAAUAUUAUCCAAUUAUAGACUAACUAGACUAAAAAAAUUUAUCUCAUGAUUUAUAGACAAACUGUGCAAUAAGUUUUUGUUUUUGUCUAUAUUUAGUACUUCAUGCAUGUGCCGUAAGAUUUGAUGUGACAGAGAAUCUUAAAAAGUUUUUUAUUUUUGGGGUGAAUUAAACAAGGCCUAUAUCGGGCUAUGGCAUAGGCCACUGGAGUAAGGCCGUGUUUAGUUGCUGAAGUGAAAAAUUUCGAGACACUGUAGUAUUUUCGUUUGUUUGUGGGAAUUAUUGUCCAACCAUGGACUAACUAGGCUCAAAAGAUUCGUCUCGUAAAUUUUGUUGACACCAUUUUUGGCAUGGGUUAAGAUAAUCAAAAUAGACUAAUCGGCAGUAGGGAAAUUGUUGCAUUGUACUGAUAAAAAGUGCCGAUAAAGAUCAAUCGAUGGAAAGUGGUGCCAAUGAAAGAUGAUGAUCGGCGGAAAAAUUCUCUUAGCCUAAAAUCCAAAGUGUUGGUUAAUAAGGUCAGGAUGAUGUUUGUCGAUUCAGGGGUUAUUGCCGAUAGAGCUUAUGGUGCUGUGUUGCUGAUGCCGAUGAGAAAAGAUAUGAAGACUGCUGCUGGUGAAGAUUUUAGCUCACCGAUGGGGUAGGAGCCGAUGGAGACUUCAUCGCGAGUAAGGUGGACAUGGGAAUAGUUAGGUUUCAUUUUCUUCUUUCUAUAUUUGUUAAAGUAUGUCCUAAUGUAAGAGUCUUUUUACCUUAAAAAUUGAGUCCUAGUCUUAUUUGGUUGUAACUAUUUAGACCAGGGUAUAAAUAUAGGCCGAGAGGUGAUGUAAAGAUAUAUCAAUCAAUAUCAAAUACAAGUUUACUCCUAUUUUCGCAUCUACUUUUUGAUGACUUCGUCAAUUUGCAUACUUUUCUUUUUACGAGUUCUCAUCGAUUCGGCGAGUUGCACUCGACGAUCCUCGAGUUUCACGUGAGUACCUCUUGGCCGUGACAUCCGGGUGUAUCGCUGUUGUCGGGACCAAAGUAUUCGAAUUAUCAUCCUUGUCGAUGAACAUGUCAAAUCGACUGGCAUGCCUUGACAUCAAAAUUGGGUAUUAGCCCUUUGUGUUUAUAGAUUUAUUUUUGCAUCAACACAUAUUUUGGCACGCCUAGUGGGACAAGUUCGACAUCAUCAACAUGCUUACCUCUGAGCUCGACGCGGACAACAUCAUCAGCGUGACAAAAGCAGAUCUCAGAGAAGAAUAGAAGCAAGCUAUGGAGAAGGCUAUGGAGGAGUACAGGCAGCUUUGUCUGAAGUUUUUCAGCUUGAACAAGAGUGGGGAAGUCAUCUAGAAGCAAGAUCUGCCAUUGCCUCAGCAGGUUACCUUUGACUCCAAUCCUGGUAAACUUCAAGAGAUGGUUAAUUUUGCAAUUAAUCAUGCUUUGGUUAACCACUCCAAUGUGCUGUCCAACACCAUUUACAACGCCGUCAUUCGAAUCUUCAAAGAGGGACAAGCACCACCACUUUAUGCUGGCCUAGCCUAUCAUCAGACAGGGCUAUCGUCGGUUGUCGCUCCAUCGGCUCCUUCAGCCGUUACGGGUACAGAAGUCACGUCUCCUCCGAGUACGGCAGGUGUGUCUAAUGAUCAAUCUACACCGAUGAGAUCAGAUCCGAUGACUUCAGGAGGGCGAGUUCAACUCAACACAGAUCUAUCGUCAUCAGCUAUGUUAGGGCCUGUAUUCCAAAACAACCAGGUUCCUCCUAAUUGGUGGGGAUAUGGUAUGCCUCCGGAGUUUUUGGCAAAUAAUUCUAGAUUAUCUCAGGCACCUGAUGCAGUAGGGAAGGCUCCCAUGCCAUCGGCUCCUCUAGUCUCGCCAAUGACUCAAGUGCCUCAGCAUUCUACGACAACUAUUGUGUGGCCAGUUGUUGGAAAUUUUCAAAUGCCGUCAUUUCAAGUGCCUAAUGCAAGCUCGUCGGCAAAUCCAUUGCCGACACAAUAGAGAUUCAUAUCUCAGGCUGGGUAUGUUAAUCCGGCAAUGACAGCAAGUUACCAGCCAUCGACAAGUUUUGUGCUGAUGAAUGCCAAUAAUGGUUGGUUAGGACAGUUACCCUUUCAACAUACAGCACAACAAAAUCAUCAAGUUGCAGGGGUUCAGCAAUGUCACAUGCAGGUUGGCUUCUAGAAUCAAGCACCAGCAGCUCAGCCGAUGAAUCUUGCUCAGCAGAUUGGUGGGCCUCAAGCAAUGACUAAUAUGUUGUUUGCUGGAGAUCGUGUGCCACAAAGACACGUGGAAGCAUAUCAAUAGGUGCCAGAGAUUUAGCCGGCACAUCGGCAGGAUGCUGAUGCUUAUUGGGCCGAUAAGAUAGCAAAGAUCAUGAGAGAUCAGUUUGGGAUAAAGCCCAAGGUUAAUACCUAUUCUUAUCGAAUGCCAUAUCCUCCUACAUACGACCUGAUCCCUCUUCUAAAUCGGUACAAAGUGCUGGAUUUUACCAAGUUUUCCGGACAAGAUGACACAUCGACAAUGGAACAUGUCAAUCAUUUCAUUAUCCAAUGUGGGGAAGCUGCUAACAGAGAUGAAUUAAGGGUUCGGCUCUUCUCAUCAUCCUUGUCUAGGUCGGCCUUUACUUGGUUUAUAUCGUUGCCUCCAAAUUCUAUUAUUACUUGGGCCGAUCUAGAAAAAUAGUUCCAUAAAUACUUCUUCUGCGGAGUUCAUGAGAAGAAGCUUAUCAAUUUAGUAAGGCUAAGGCAGCGUAAUGAUGAAUCGGUAGAGAGCUGUGUGCAGAGGCUGCGAGAUGUGAAGAACAAGUGCUAUAGUCUGGUUCUACAUGAUCAACAACUGGCCGAUCUAGCUUUUCAAGGAUUGUUACCACAUCUCAAGGAUAUGUAUGCUUAUCAAGAAUUUGAAAUCUUGAGUCAUCUUGUGCAAAGAAUUUCUGAUCGAGACACUAGGAUUUUUGAGCCUAGAAAGAAUUGGAAUAAAAAGGUGUCAUUUGUCAAUGAAGCAAAAGAUUCUGAUUCUGAUGAAGAGCCAGUUAUCGACUUAGCAAAGUGGGUGAAAAACAAGAAGCCGAUAUCUUGUCCCUUUGGUCAGAAAGAGCCAGAGAAGUUUGCUUUUGAUAUCACUAAAGCCGAUAGGAUUGACCUCUUGCUUCAGGAAGGACAAAUUAAAUUAUCACCAAACCAUGUGAUUCCACUAGCAUAAGAGUUGAAAAAGAUCAAGUAUUGCAAGUGGCAUAAUGCAACUUCACACAGUACAAAUGAGUGUAAAGUGUUCAGGCAACAGUAGCAGUUAGCUAUAGAAUCUGGGAGAAUUAAGUUUGAUCACUCAUCAGCGGCAGCGGGAGAAUUGGCAGUAGCGGGAGGAUCGGUAUCGGUGACAGCAAGAAAAGAGGCGUCGGGAAGAGUGGAAUCGGCAUAAAGAUCAUUGGGAUUGCUCGUACUUUGUUCACUGUUGGGAACGGGGUAUCAAGUUGCCGACGGUUGAAAGUUGCCCCGAGUGCAAUGGUUAUUAUCAGAACAAUCGGUCAGAAAGGAGAUUCCGACAUGAUAAUCAAGAUCUUUCCAUUAAUGAGCCGAUCAGAGGCAGGGCAUCAGUGCAUGAUCGGCUAGGGGGUAGACUUAAUGUGCAUGAACGGUUGGGCAGAUGUGUCGUGUAUUUUCUAAGAAAUCAAGAAGAACUAGAGGAAAUGGCAAAUGCUAGAGUUCCUGAUGAGAAAAUUUUCUAUAGGGAUCCUAAUAUACGGCGUGUAGAGUCAACUGAAGUCCGUUAUCAACGGGUUUGGAAGACCAAACUUCCCCGAUGGUGUCCAGAGGGUUUGACAAGGACACAAAGGAGGAGGAUGCAACAGGAGCGUCAUGAAGAUUUGUAUAGAGAAGAGAAUUAUUCUAAGUCUGAGAAUCGGUAGCAAUCAGAUCACAAGGGAAAGGUCUAUCAGUAGAUGUUAAUAUGGUAUUCAUGUUGCCGAUGGAAUUCCUUGUGCCUUCUAGUGAUGAUUGUUGACGGUCCUUAAGUAUCAAAUUUAAUUAUCAAAUAAAUAAAGAAAAGGAUCCAAAUGAAAUAAAGAUCUAGACUUAGGGUUUUAUCUGACAGAAUUCCACGAGUUUUGGUGUUUGUCUAUUUCUGCAGGGGGAUAUCAGGAAAUAUGGAAGAAAGGCCCACAUGUCAGGAUUACGUAAAGAUAUUAACGUGCUGCGCAAUUAUCUUACAUCUAGAAGACUCCAGAAGCCACGAGACCGAAGCGGAGGCGAAUCGGGGCCAGAGACAGGGCGCCCGCCCUGUCCAACUGGGCGCCCGCCCUGCCCCCAAGUCCAAUCAGGACUCUGCUUUGCGGGAAGUCUCCACCGACCUAAAGGAUGAAUCUAAACCAUACAAUCUAUGUCGGUUUGAUCCAAGGGCCCAUAUUCACUUGAAGGGACUAUAAAACCAGACCCCCUGGGCCCUGGAGGAGAGAGCCUCUCAACCCUAAUUCAUUGUUCCAUCAAGGGAGAAGAAGCCUCUGAUCAAGAUUAGAGCCACCACAUCAAUUAGAUAUCUAGAUUAGCAUAGCUACAUAGGAUUAGAACUAGAAGGAGUCAAUCUUCGAUUGGUUUCCGGAUCUGUCAGGAGGAUUCUUGGUAAUUCUCUAAUUGUGCUUCUAAUUGCUUUCUAAUUAUCUUUGUUCUUCAAUAUUAUGAAUAUGACUUUGUUCUACUUCAAUAUAUUGCUUAUGACUUUGCUCUACUUGCUUAUAUUCAAGAUUAUAUUGUUCUUAGUUUAUCAUAGUUAUGUACUUGGCUUAGUUAGAUACGAUCUAUAUACAUGCUUAGGAUCGUAUAGCGUUUAUCCAUCGGAUCCAUGGGUAAAUGAUAGAUAUUGUGUAGGCGUGGUGCUUAUACCGUAUUUAUCUGCGAUUGUACCCAAUAUGCCAGAUCGUGGGGUAGUUCGUGAUAGUGACAGCUUCAUUGAUUCUUAUAUAGUCCCCCUCUCGUGUAUUGGGCUGGCAGAGCAACAUUAUUACAGGGGAAUGAUUGCUAUGUUUUUCAUAUUCCUUGCUAAUAUCACUAUGCAUGGGCGUAGUCUUGUCUAGCAAUGAUUGCUAAGUAUGCUUGCACUAACUAUGAUAUGCUAGACUAUAUAGUUAAGAAUAACUUAGGGAAUAUUCUUGUAGUUCGUUCUAAUACCAUGCUAAUGACUUUCUAGAGUAUCUAAUUGAGGUGCUUAUCAUAUUUAUUAUGUGGCUAGAUCAGAUUAGUUAUCCUUGUCACUAUUAUUAUUUCAUAUAUCUUUUAUGUGACACUUAUCCCUGUAUGAUGAGUUAGAUAUAAUGUUCUCAAUUAUACAUGCAAUGAUAGAUGCUCAAUCUCAUAUUCUAUUCUGUAAUCAUUAGUGAUGAUUUCUAAUCCCUUCCCAGUGGUAAAAAUAUAAAUAACGAUACCUGGAAUACUUCCCGGUUAAAAUGCUACAUCGGUAUUAAUCUGUGCGCUUGCAGAUCCCAUUCAUUAUUUAUUUAGAAGAGCAAUUGCAUAUUUCAAUACCGCGUCUCUCAUAUCAUGCUGGGGAUGACAACUUGGCUUAAGUGGUGUGAGGGAUAGGUUUGACAUUUUUGGCACCGUUGCUAGAUUUAGAACUUAGUCUACUUUUAGUAAUGAUGUUAAGAAUACCCAACAAUGAUGAAGAAAUCAAUCUCUCUGAUCAAAUAGCUCAGUUGGUGCUUGAUCUGAUGAUGGCUGUUUUCGAGAAGCCAACUGAUCAUGAAAGACAGCAUCUCAAGACUUUGUUCAUUAAGGACAGGGUUGAUGGGCAGCCAGUGUCUAAGAUACUCGUUGAUGGAGGAGCUGCAAUUAAUAUCAUGCCCUACGUAAUGUAUCAGAAACUUAGCAAAGGUGAUCAAGAUUUGACCAAGAACGAUAUGAUGCUGAAAGAUUUUGAAGGCAAUGUGUCACCAGCUAAAGGGGUUGUAUGCGUUGAAUUGACUAUCGGCAGCAAAACUUUGCCGACGAUGUUCUUUGUCAUCAAUGGUAAAGGUGCGUACAAUCUGCUUUUGGGGAGGGACUGGAUUCCUUCCAACUGUUGUGUUCCUUCUAUGAUGCAUCAAUGCCUCAUUAAAUGGGUUGGAGAUAAGAUUGAGGUUGUUCCUGGCGAUUCUUCUUACAUCAUUGCAUCGGCAGAGUCAGAUACUUAUGAGCGAACCAGGUGCAUAUCAGGAGAGGCCUAGGAGAAAGAUUUCCUCAGAGUUACCGAUUAUGAAAUUCCACCGAUCCAAGCAGUCGGUUCUGAUGAAGAGUUUUAAUGGAUAGAUUCACCGAUGAUGAAAAGUUUGGACAGGGGUUCACAUCGGCUGAUGAUUUAGUAGAAGUAGAUAUUGGUAGUGGUGAUAGGCCAAGACCUACUUUUAUUAGUGCUAAGUUAGAUUCCAAGUGUAAACAACAAUUGAUAGAUUUGUUAAAGGAAUAUAAAGAUUUUUUUGCUUGGGAUUAUACUAAGAUGCCUGGAUUAGACCGAUCGAUUGUUGAAUAUUGUUUACCUAUUAAAUCUGGAUUUUGGCCACAUCAGCAACCAGCGCGCCGAUGUAACUCUAAUAUUCUUCCCGAUAUCAAGGCCAAAAUUACCAAGCUAAUUGAAGCCAAGUUUAUUCGGUAGUGUCGGUAUGUAGAGUGGAUUUCUAAUGUUGUUCUUGUCUAUAAGAAAAAUGGAAAACUUCGUGUGUGCAUUGAUUUUAGGAAUCUUAAUAAGGCUAUGCCGAUGGAUGGCUAUCCAAUGCCUGUUGCCGAUUUGCUAGUUGAUGCUGCAGCUAGACAUCGGGUUAUUAGUUUUAUGGAUGGCAAUGCGGGGUACAAUCAGAUAUUCAUGGUCGAGGAAGAUAUUCCCAAGACUACCUUUAGAUGUCCAGGUCAUAUUGGUUUGUUUGAAUGGAUAGUCAUGACUUUUGGUUUGAAAAAUGCCGGUGCAACUUACCAAAGGGCCAUGAAUUUUAUUUUUCAUGAGUUCAUCGACACGUUGGAAGAGAUCUACAUUGAUGAUGUGGUAGUUAAGUUUGGAGAUUUUGAGAAACAUCUAGCCGAUCUACGAAAGAUACUUGAAUGCACAAGAAACAUGGUUUGAAGAUGAAUCCUAAUAAAUGUGCAUUUGGUGUCUCAGCAGGCCAGUUCCUAGGUUUCAUGGUGCAUCAGAGGGGGAUUGAAAUUAGUAGAAGAUCCAUUGAUGCAAUUAACAAGGUGGUUGCUCCUGCCGAUAAGACUGAACUACAAUCAUUGAUCGGUAAGAUCAAUUUCAUCAGGAGGUUCAUAUCUAACCUAUCGGGCAAGAUCAAAGCCUUCAGCAUUUUACUUAAGUUAAAAGCUAACCAGGAGUUUGUGUGGGGGGCUGAAUAGUAGUUGGACUUAGAUGAAAUUAAGAGAUACUUGAUAAAUCCUCCGGUAUUGGUUCCACCUCAGCACGGGAAACCUUUCAGAUUGUAUUUAUCGACCGAUGAUACUGUUAUCAGUUCGGCCCUUAUUCAAGAAUUUGAAGGGAAAGAAUGCGUCAUUUAUUAUUUAAGCAGAAGAUUGGUGGACGCUGAGACAAGAUAUUUGGCCAUCGAGAAGCUAUGCUUAUGCUUGUACUUUUCUUGCAUUAAAUUAAGGCAUUAUUUGCUAUCGACCGAAUAUAUUGUCAUAUGCAAAGAUGAUGUGGUCAAAUAUAUGUUGUCGAUGCCGAUUUUGAGUGGUAGAAUCGGCAAGUGGAUCUUAGCGUUAUCAGAGUUUGAUCUAUGCUAUGAAUUGGCCAAAGCAGUUAAGGGGCAAGUUAUGGCUGAUUUUGUUACUCAACAUUGCAAUGUAGUGGGUGUUGACACUUGCUAACACCACUUGAAUACUAGGUUGUCAUCCCCAGCAUGGCACUAGAGUGUACUAUGGUAUUUAUACGCACACAGAUAAUCCGCAAGCGCACAGAUACCGUUGUAGCUUUUACCUGGUUAAAGGUUUUAUCGUAUCCAUAGGGAAACGGAAGAACCAACUACGCUCUAACUUAACCAAGAUAGAUAGAUAAGUGUAAAUAGGAAAGAUGGUAGAAUUGAAUAAGAACAAUAUUAAAGGUAAGAUAAUAGUGAGUGAUAAUAUGGGAAUAGAGAGUAGAGCAAUCUAAUAUAUGGGCGAUGGUAGAAGAAUAGAGAGGAUAACUAUGGUUUCUCUACUUCAGAGGGGUAUGUCUAUGUCUGGGACGAACCACGUGAUAAGAAUACACCACAAAGGAUGCUUAUCCAUAGGCCGAUAAACCCUACCCGUCCUGCUAACAAGAAGUGGACUACAGGGGACCAACGUAACUGUCACCUACGCGGCCUACCACACGAUCCAGCUAGACAGGGGAUAUCCACAAGUAAUCUAGGUCUAAGCACCACGCUUACACCUAUACUACAACUCUAACCUAUAGGGUCCUAUAGAUUAGAAGUACUCAAAAGAGUUGUGAACCAGAACAUACAUGAUUAGUAAUUGCACAAUGAAUUAGAAGUAGAUUACCAGAGUCAUCCCAUGAGCAAGCUUGAUUAGAGCUUGAUCUUGACGAAGUACAACCAGAGGAAGAACCGACAGGCCGGCCUCUCCUCUAAUCCUCCUUUGCUCUCCAUCUCGCUACUAUCUAGAUCUACUCUAGUUUAGAGAUGAGAGGAGAGCUCUCAUCUCUAAACCCUAGCUUUUGCUCUGUCUAUGAAUAAUGAAUAAUGAUCAAGGGGUGCCUCCUCCAGGGGCCAGGGGGUCUGCUUAUAUAGUCCCCUCAAGUGAAUCUGGUCCGUCGGAUCAAACCGACAUUGAUUGAACGGUUAUUCUUGAUCCUUUAGGUCGGUGGAGCAUAAUCCCCGAAGAGAGUCCUGAUUGGACUCUGGGACAGGGCGGGCGCCCAAGGGGGGAGGGCGGGCGCCCUGCCCCCGAGCCUGCUCGGUCUCCUGUUCGUUCCCGUGGCUUCUGGAGUCUUCUAGAUGAUAGAAAAUUACGCUGCACGUUCAUAUCUCUAUGUAAACUCGACAUGUGGGCCUUUCCUCCAUAUUUCCUGAUAACUGUUGACGGUGGAUAUACCAUAGAAAUCCACAUACAAAACACCGUCAACAUGCCUCGGUUGCAAGGGGAAAUGACAUGACAUGAACAUAUUUUAUCCAUAACUAGUUCCACUUGUACUCUUAGCUUGUUUAUGCAGGAACAACAAAUUCAAGACAUUAUUUGACAAAGCCAACAUCAGAAUCAUCAACAGGAGAUCGAAGGGACAACAGGUGACACCCUGGGCCCACAGGGAGGGGGUCGCCCGACCCCUCUUUGGUGGGACCCAGGUGUGCCACCUAGUCCACCGACAUAAGGGACCCCUGUGGACACUGCUGGUGGGCCCAGAGGCCCAGAAGUGGGGUCGCCCGACCCCACAUCAAAGGCAGUUCCAGGGUCGGUGGCCUCCCACCGACCUUCCCCACAUGUCCCACAUGUUGAUUUGCCCCUGCCGUUGAUCAAAUGGCGGUUGUGAGGUCGGUUUGAUCCAAGGGUGGAGAGAAGAUGUCACGCGGAUCGAUGACGUGGCGAUGGAGUAACCCCUACUCCAUCUCCCUCUAUAAAAGGCAGCCUCCACCCUUCAUUUCAAGUGUGCAAUUCCAAGGCCAAGUGCAUUACAAGUUCCAAGCAUACAAGUAGAGUAGUAGUUAGUCUAGAGUGGGAGUUAGAGUCGAGUCGAGCGAAGCUCGGGGUCUCCGGAGUCGUCUUCUGGAGAGUCUGGUAUAGCUCUUGUACCUUUCUACUUUUGUAAGACUUUCCUUUUAUUAAUAUAUUAUUCUUACUUUACUUUACUGAGUUCUUACUUAGUGCAAGUCUUUUAGUCUUGUUGUGCAUUUACUUUAGUAAUAUAGUUGUCUUAGUGAAGUUAGUGACCUGUAACCACUCCUGUGUGUGCAUCAUCGUCCUAUCUUGUAUAGGAGCUCUAGCUAGCUGCAACCAGUUAGAGUUGUAGGAUUAAGUGUGAGCGUGGUGCUCAUACUUAAGAUUACCUUUGAUUACCGCUGGCUUGAACGGAAAGUAGGAGCGCACUCCCUAGUAGGUGACAGAUCGUGGGCGGCAUUAGGUUCUCCUCACGUACAGGCUAGUUCUUAAAAGGUAAGGCGCCCAUAAGCCCAAUAGUCGCUUUCGGUAAGGGGUUAGGUGAAAAACCUUCUAAGCGUCUUACCAGCUCGGCUAUCCCUCGCACACAGUUAGUAAGGCUCUAGCGUAGUUAAGGCAAUUAUCUAUUAAAGUAAGUCACAGAAGUCAAGUUAGAUACAUAGGAGUCCUUUACUCACUCGUUGUCCUCCCACCUAGCUAACUCUACCAUUUACCUUUAGCAUAGGACCUUGGAUUCACCACUACCCUUCCUAUUCGUUAUUUACCACCCUUAUUCACUAGUUGAUACUAGACAACUCAAGGAAUCUCAUUCCCCUUUUUGUUAAACACACUUAGCCGCUUUCCCUUGGGAAAAUAUAAAUUACGAUACCUUGGAAUACUCCUUGGUGAAGUGCUACAGCGGUACAUUCUGUGCGCUUGCGGAAUUAUCCAAUAGUAAAUAGAGUUACCCUACCAGGGCACUUCUGGCGCCGUCGCCGAUAUCCGGUGGUUGCGUUAAGAAGUGUCAACAAUAACCCCCUACAGAAAUAGACAAACACCAAAACUUGUGAAAUUCUGUCAGAUAAAACCCUGUCUGGGUGUUGGUUGUAUUUGGAUCCUUUUCUUUAUUUAUUUGCUGAUUAUAUUUGGUACUUAAGGACCGUCAACAACUCGCCCAAGCUUACCUCUUGCUCGUCCCUGAGCAAGGAUGGACUCAAGAGUUUCUGCAGUGGUUUUAUGCCUUAAAGGUACACAUGCGUUUAAACAAGAUCUCAUCUCUAGGUUAGGGUAAACUGUUAAGAUUUAAAACUUACUCAUUUUACCUUCCACCAUGGGGCUUGUAACCGUCACUUGUGUCUUGAGCAGUUAAAAGAUAGAACGGUCAAGUCAAGCGUCAUGUCUCUUGUUCUUGAUCAACUAUAGCUCUGGAGUUUUUGCAGAUUUUCAAAUAAAACUCAGAGAUUCUUGUAUGACUCUCUCUAGUCUCUCUUUUGUGGUAUUUCUAGAUCCUUACCAAGGCAGUGAUGAUAUAUGCCUUCUCUCAAAGUAUGUGGUAUUUUUGGUAUGAGGCAUAGUGACAUUACCUUCUCUCUCACUCUACUCUAAUAAAGUUUUGAUAUCUAGAGAUCAUAGGUGGGAGACAGCUAAUACAUACUUACAAGACAUUUAUUUCAUAGUCAAACCAUGGAUCUAGAGAAACAAGUCAAUAAGUCAAAUCAAGAUGUGCAUGUGUGGCGAAUGAAUGGUGUAUGGUGAUGAUGGUGAAAGUCUAAUUCUACUUUUGCUCUUUUGAGGGGAUACAUACCUUUCUUGCACUUUGAAGCUUUUUGAGGAGAAUGAGAUGCUUUAUAUAUUUUUUUUCUUUCCUCUCAGGUGGGUAUCUUGUACCCCUAAUUCUACUGUCGGACACUUGUCUAUUUUUACCUCUUGUCUCACUUUUUCUUUUCUUUUUUUCUCUCGAGGUUCCGGGCACUUGCCCCUUUUUAUUUCCUCGUAUUUACUUUUUUUUUCCGAGCACUCACCCUCCUGGAAUAAUGUAGCAAGUGGUAGUAACCAAAAUAUCUUGAGCAUUUAUUUCACGGGGAAUAACAGGGAUAGAAUAAUGUUUUUUGCUAUUCUCUCCUGGAUAGGAGUAGAAUAAUUCUGGGUGAAUCUGGAGAUGGAAAUGAAUGGAUGUAUGUGGAUGCGUACUUCUAGAGUAGAAGCAGCAUGUAUGAGUGAACGUGCAAGUGGAUUUUGAUUUUAACCACAUGACAAGCUCCUAAGGGUCUACACAGCUUGACCACACUCAAUGCUCAUAAGUAGUAAAAAGUAAAUGUAUGGUUCAUAGUCUAAUAAGCAUGUAUAUAUAGCUGUGGUAGGAUUUUAAACUCUCAUCAUACAUGAACUCAUCAUGCAACAUUUUAAAGAUUUUCAAAGAUAAAAUUCUCCAGAAUUCUAGCAUCUCUAGGAAUAGAUAAAUACAGCUCAACCUUCCCAUAUCAUAUCCGUUAAUGACUUAGACUUUAGAUCAAGUACUCUUCCCACAAGUUCAGGUUUAGAGCAAAUCUUAAUUCAUAACAGUCAUACCUAAACUUGAGAGAGAUUUCACUUUUGAGAACUAGUCAUGGCAGAGCAACUAUUCAUCAUUUCCAUGUGAGAGCUUACCAUGAGGGUUCAUAGCAAACUUUAUUUAUUUAUUUAUUUAUUUAGCAAACUAAGAAAAUAUAUAUAUAUAUAUAUAUAUAUAUAUAUAAGCAUAAAAUCUUUAUUUGGGUUUUUUUAUGAUUAUGCAUCUUUUUAUUAUUUGAGUAAAGUAUAAACAUGAGUAGAAACACUUAGCUGGAUAAAUAGGGAUGCUCUUCCCCAAGCUGGAUUUUGACGUAAUUUCUUCUGAUGUAGCUAGCAGGUGACGGAGGUGUAUUUGAAUGUCGGCAGCACCCUGACAGCGAUUAGGAUGUCCUCCGUCUGCUAGUCUUCUUUGAUCCUUGAAUUCUGUGGAGCUCAAAUAGACAACAAAGCUUUGUGGAACUGGUUAAGUGUUAGCAUAAAAUCUCUUUGCCUUUAUCAUGUUGAGCUUCCUCUAAUAAAUAUUACUCUCUUUGGUUGGAUCAUAAAUUUAUUUUUAUAUUUUCAUUUCUAUAGGACAUGAAUAUAUUUAUUUUAUUUUUACGCCACCACAGUGAAUGUACUUAUGGGUUUUAUGCUACGAGCAUACUCACAUGGGGCUUAGUAUUUUUAAACAUUUUUAAUUUCUUUUCAAGAUAGCAUAAUCAACUAAUAAGCUAUUUAAGGAAAGUAAGUAAUUAAAGGGAAAAAGGAAUGCAGAAAGGAUAAAUAUGGAUAACUACCGAUUUUACCUUUCGUCGAGGGUUCAAUGUUUUAAAUCUUCUGAACAAGACUUCUCACCGUGUUCAUUCUUCAGGUAUGUCUUUUAAUUCAGGUGAGGACCUUGACGUCUGCACCUCUUGAUACGGUGUCACCCAUGUUCUUCGUUUGCCCAGCAGUUCGAAGUGUGGCAUUGGCAGCAUCCUGCUCAGUGUGUUUGUGCUCGUAGAUCCAGGUCCUUCACUUGGUAGAGUCUGAGAGUUAUAAAACUCCUCCAUGUUUUGCUCGAAGUGUACCUGCUCAUAGAGACAAGGCAGAGAUCAAGUGCAUGGGUCCUGUUGGUGGAAAACACCAACAGAACCAAAAGUGUAUUUGUUCUUCUCUAACCUUAAGCAUAGUGAGCAAGACAAAGUUGAUGGAUGAUAAGUUCAUGAGUGUAGUACUUAUAACAUUUGUCAGAUCAGAUCGCUCAACCUUAUGGAGAGAUAAUCUAUCUAUGUAUAUGUCUUUUUCUUUAUGUAUCUCAAAGAUUGAAUGUGUAACAUUUAGGCUCAUAUGAUUAGGAGUGUGGGAUCAUGGAGGUACUACUAGGAACAAAGAUUAAAGGACUAAACAUGCGGAAUCAGUUGGGUUGGUUAAUUUAGAGUUAUAAAUCAUACAUGUUUGUCUCUUUAUUUAUGUGAACGCCAGAACCAAGGAGAAGCUUAUAAAAGUGAUAGUCACAUAUCUUAAGAUGUUACCUUACUUGAAGAGUGAUGGUACAGUAUCACCUUGUGGAAGCUUUCCUUUCUUAGCGAUUGUGCAUCGUGUUUGUAGCACCCUCCAUGGAUCAUCUCUUAUGAACUAUGUCUUCCUUGUGUAAAUUGUUAAACUUCAUGUGUCCCACUCUUUGUCUCCAAUGUGAGUUUAUCUCAGGACUUCCCAGGUUGAUAUUGAAAGUUUUCCUGCAGGGGUUAGUCCGACAAAAUAUACCAAUAUCUACUCAAGCAGUUUUUUAGUUCAAUAACCAAACUAGACUCCAUGUCUAAUCAGAUUAAUGAAGGCUGUUUAACCUAAGCACCAUGCUUAAUUUAAAAGCCAAUAGAAGUAUGUGUAGUACUUCCAAACUAACACUUACUAGGAUAAACAAAGGUAGCGUGAUGGCAUUUAUAGAGAUCUACUCAAGUGGAGAUGAAGUAGUGUGAUUAGUAUUUAACAAAUUGAGCAUGUCUCAAAGGUAGGGACAACCAACAUAGCAACAUGACAAAGGAUGUUUUUAUGUAAAGUACACCCCUAAGCUUGAAUUUUUUGCAAAAUUCAAGUUUGGGUGAAUUUAAUUCAAUGUUGUAUGAUGAUUGGUUGGACAUACCUUGUGCUUGUCAUUCAUCCGAUCUUCUUGCUCCAAUCUUAGAAAGGUUAGUGACAAGAAUACCCGAAGGAAUAUUUUCACAAUUAUCUUUAUAUGCUCAAUACACAAGGUAAUGUUGCAAAUAAUUAAAAGCUCAUGUUACGAUCUGAUCAGUGCUUAUUUUAGGACACUAAGAUUGUCCUUGGGAAACCAUCAAUUUAUGUCGGUGAAGUGGUUUCCCUUCCAACGCUGACCUAUAUCAAGAUCAACUCAACGAGAUCUGCAAUAUUUAUUAUAGACAUAUGCAUCGACAACCGCCCUUUUAAAGUUUUUAUAAAUAGAAAGGAAGAGGGGGUUGGAGAUCUCAAAUGUGGUGAUGUUGGAGAGACCAAUAGAUUGGGAAGAUGUUGCAUAUGAGCAUGAAGUAAAUGAAGUGGCUAUGAAAUAAAUCCCAUGCUCAUUAAUGUUAUCUUCGUCUCCAAUCUGAAUGUUCGGAGUUUCUCCUGGAUUGGUCUCACCUAUGUCUUCUUCUGUAGUUGGAUGAAUCCCAUUUUCAAAGGGAGUCAAGAACUCACCAUUUGAAAUUGAGCCAAAGUCAGAAUCCAUUAAGGCUUCUUCCUUAUCCAUCCAUUCUACACAUUCUAGCCAUUUAGAACUUGUGAUCAGGAAAGGGGAGCUGAUAGAAUCUUCUAUAUAGCUUAGCUCUCCUUCUAUGGCAUUACUUGACAUGCCAUCCUUAUGGUCUUCAUGACUCCUAUGGUUUGGUCGUCUUGGUGAAUUGCUAGGAUCAUCAUGAGACUGAAAAGAAGAGGGAUAAGAGGGAUCUCUAAGGUCAAGGAUGGAUUUAGAACUUGUGAACAUGGAAGGGGAGCAGAUAGAAUUUUCUAUAUGGAUUAGCUCUCCUUCACUUGAUAUGUCAUCCUCGACUUCUUCAUAAUAGGAACCAGUACAUUCUCUAAGAGAAACAUUAUUGCAAGGAUUUGAAUUAUCCCUGCUUGAAGGUCUCUUAUGGAACCAGAAGUCUAAACCAUCAGUAUCUGAAAGAUUUAAGGUCGGAAUUCCUUCCUCCCUUGGAGAAUUUUGGGGUAUUGAUGGUUCAGGAUCGAUAGCUAAAGUUUGGGAUUGAAAUGGUUGUGAUCUGGCUAUCGAAACUUCUUCUUCUUGUCUAGGAACUGGUUCUUUCUCUUUCUCAGGGAUAUAAAAGCUAGGAGACUUUCCGCUCAAUAAAUCAAUCAAAUUCCAAGCUUCACUAGCGGAUAGGUGGUGGAAAGAUCCUCUAGAGGCUGUAUUCAAGGUUUGCUUAUUUUCCCUACUAAGGCCCUCAAAAAAGUGAAUUAGAAGAACUUCUUCUGGAAUAGAAAGCUUUGGGCCAGUGAGAGUAAGGUUAAUAAAGCGGUCCCAUGAUUUACCAAGAGUUUCUUCUUCCAGUUGUCUAAAAGAAAUAAUCUCACGUCAAAGUUCCACCACUUUAGAGAUUGGAAAAUAUUUUAAAAGAAAACUAUUAUGUAACUCCUUCCAAUCUCCAUGAACACUCCCUACUUUGAAUUUAUACCAAUGUCUAGCUUUUCCUAUUAAAGAGAAUGGAAAGAGCUUCCAUUUAAGGGUCUCAUCGGACAUGCCUUCUAUGCGAAGGAGGUCACAGACUCGAUAAAACUCUCUUAGGUGUGUGUAUGGGUUUUCCUCACCUUCUCCUGAGAAAGGUUGUUUUUGAACAAAUUCUAUGUAUUCGAGGUCUAUCUCAAAACUAGAUGCUAUGAUAGGCUUUGAAGAUUUUGGUGGUUCGAGAUGUGUGCCCGUAGGUCUAUGAAACUGAUAGAUAGACAUGUUUGCAUUCAUGAUAGACCAGAGAUUAAGGAUUAGAUAAGAAGAAAGAAUAGCAGAGAUAAGGCAAAGGAUAAAAGGAAAAUAUAUAUUUUUAUAUUAUAUAUAUAUUUUUAUAUUUUUUUAGAAAAUGAUUAAGCUAGUUCGUAGUCAACUCAGCAACCGUCUCCCCGGCAACGGCGCCAAAAAUGCUUGUUGACACUUGCUAACACCACUUGAAUACUAGGUUGUCAUCCCCAGCAUGGCACUAGAGUGUACUAUGGUAUUUAUACGCACACAGAUAAUCCGCAAGCGCAUGGAUGUUGACGGUCCUUAAUGCUCACAUUUAACCAUCAACUAAUCAUAGAAAAGGAUCCAAAUACAAUCAACACCUAGACUUAGGGUUUUAUCUGACAGAAUUCCACGAGUUUUGGUGUUUGUCUAUUUUUGCAGGGGGUUAUCAGGAAAUAAGGAAGAAAGGCCCACACGUCGGGUUUACAUAGAGAUAUUAACGUGCCGCGCAAUUUUCUACCAUCUAGAAGACUCCAGAAGCCACGGGAACGAACGGGAGACGUAACGGAGCCGGGCACUGGGCGCCCGCCCUCCCUUACUGGGCGCCCGCCCUCCCCCCUGGACCAAUCAGGGUGAAGUUCGGGGAUCAUGCUCCACCGACCUAAUACUUCAAGGAAAACCACACGAUCAAUGUCGGUUUCAUCCGACGGCCCAGAUUCACUUGAAGGGACUAUAAAACCAGACCCCCCUGGUCCCUGGAGAUCAUACCUCUUCUACAGAAUCAAAGCUAGGGUUUCAAUUCUUCAUCCAAGUAGAGAGGAUCCCUCUAGUUCUUCUAGUUCUACCUCUAGUUGAUCUAGAUCUAUUUCUAGUUCAUCUAGUUCUAGUUCUAGUUCCUCUAGUUCUAGUUCUAGUUAGUUCUAGUUGUAAUCUAGAAAAUAGGGAGAGAGAAGAGGAGAGCGGAGGAGGAGCCGGAUCUGUCGGAUCUUCCUCAACAUUAUACUUUUGCAACAACUGGUUCGUUCUUCAUCGUUCUCCAGGUUCUUCAAUUCAUAAUUCUUGAGUUCUUUAAUUACUUUUAUUUACAUUCAAGUUAUUUAUUGGAUUCCCGCUUGCAUCAAGUGCUCUAGUCUUUAUAACGCUAGAGUAGUAAUUAAUAGAUUAGACGUGGUGUUUAGUCUUGCGAUUACCUGGAAUUGCACCCAAUCCUGCGGAUUGUUGUGGUAGCCUUAGGGUAGUGACAGCCCUAACGGUCGACGUAUUCCACCACGUUCGGAUCGGUGUUUGUAGGACCGUAAUCAGACCUUCCUAGCCCCCUUCUCAUCUCUUUCUGUGGUUAGUGCUCUGAUGUCCCGAUAUAGAUAAUCUUGAAGUAAUUCUUGAUUCUUAGAUCAACUAGAGAACUCUCAGGAAACUUCCUCUCUUCCCACCAAAAAUAAUUAUAUAGUUAUCCUUGGGCGAUUUUGGAUCUUAAUUAGUACACUCACGUUCUCUGUGGAAAAUCGAUACUCUGGAAUACUCCCGGGUGAAGGCUACAUCGGUAUCCGUGCGCUUGCGGAUUUUUCUGUUUUCGUUUAAAAUACUCUAUAAGCUUUCUGGCGCCGUUGCCGGGGAACGGUAGCUGUGCUAGUUUCGAACCAAGUCGUCCGUGUAUCCAUUUUCUUUUCCUUUUUUACCACACUCACCUUAUCAUUUUCACCAUACCACAUGGAUUUCACUCUAAGCAUUAACGAGCAUGGAAUUUAUUUCAUAGCCACUUCAUUUACUCCAUGCUCAUAUGCAACAUCUUCACAAUCCAUUGGUCUCUCCAACAUCACCACAUUCGAGAUCUCCAACCCCCUCAUCCUUUCUUUUUAUAAAAACUUUAAAAGGGCAGUUGUCGAUGCAUAUGUCUAUAAGAAAUAUUGCAGAUCUCGUUGAGUUGAUCUUGAUAUAGGUUAGCGUUGGAGGGGAAACCACUUCACUGACAUAAAUUGAUGGUUUCCCAAGGACAAGCUUAGUGUCCUAAAACAAGCACUGAUCAGAUUGUAACAUGAGCUUUUAAUUAUUUGCAACAUUACCUUGUGUGUUGAGCAUAUAAGGAUAAUUGUAAAAAUAUUCCUUCGGGUAUUCUUGUCACUAACCUUUCCAGGAUUGGAGUAAGAAGAUCGGAUGAAUGACAAGCACAAGGUAUGUCCAACCAAUCAUCAUACAACAUUGAAUUAAACUCAUCCAAACUUGAAUUUUGCAAAAUUCAAGCUUGGGGGAGUACUUUAUAUAAAAACAUCCUUUACCAUGUUGCUAUGUCGGUUAUCCCUACCUUUGAGACAUGCUCAAUUUGUUAAAUACUAAUCACACUGCUUCAUCUCCACUUGAGUAGAUCUCUAUAAAUGCUCUCAUGCUACCUUUAUUUGCUUUAGUAUAUGUCUAGGUUUGGAGUAGUUUCAUUUAUCUCUUAAUUAAGCAUGGUGCUUAGUUUAGGAAAGAUGAUCUUACUUUCAAAGGAUUUUAAAUUAAGCAUGAUGCUUAGGUUAAAAAGCCCUCCUGAAUCAAAUUAGACAUGGUGUCUAGGUUGAUUUUUGAGCCGAUAGUAUGCUAUAGCAGAUAUGGGAUAUUUUGUUGGACUAACCCCUGUAGGAAAACUUUCAUUAUCAACCUGGGAAGUCCUGAGAUAAACCCACAUUGGAGACAAAGAGAGAGACACAAGAAGUUUAACAAUUUACACAAGGAAGGCACAGCUCACAAGAGAUGAUCCAUGGAGGGUGCUACAAACACGAUGCACAACCACUAAGAAAGGAAAGCUUCCACAAGGUGAUACUGUACCAUCACUCUUCAAGUAAGGUAACAUCUUAAGGUACUUGACUAUCACUUCUAUAAGCUUCUCCUUGGUUCUGGCGUUCACAUGAAUAAAAGAGACAAACAUGUAUGAUUUACAACUCUAGAUUAACCAACCCAAUCGAUUCAACAUGUUUAGUCCUUCCACCUUUGUGAUUCCACACUCCUAAUCAUAUGAGCUAAAGUGUUGCACACUCAAUCUUUGGAAGAUAUAUAAAAAAGAGAGAAAACACAUAAGUAUAGAUAGAUUAUCUUUCCAUUAGGUUGAGCGAUCUGAUCUCACAAAUGUUUUAAAUGCUACACUCAUGAUCUUAUUAUCCAUCAACUUUGUCUUGCUCACUAUGCUUGAGGUUAGAGAAGGACAAAUACACUUUUGGUUCUGUUGGUGUUUUCCACCAACAGGGCCCAUGCACUUGAUCUCUGCCUUGUCUCUAUGAGCAGGUACACUUCGAGCAAAAUAUGAAGGACUUUUACAACUCCCAGACUCCACCAAGUGAAGAACCUAGAUCUACGAGCACAAACACACUGGAGAUACUGGACACUCAGGCAAUCACAGCCCGGAGAUGCUUGAGAAUGUAACUACGAGAGUAACCCUAUUGUGGAAGUAAUUACUGACCUUCUGCCAAUCAAGAGAGGCGAUCUAGGACGCUCCGUCAUCCCGAUCUCCAUCGGCAUGGUGGACUUCCCAGAAGCACUCUGCGACUUUGGCUCCAGCGUCAACAUUAUGCCCAGGGGAAUAUUGAAGAACCUCUGCGUCCGAGUUGGUACCUUGUACGCCCCAGCAGACUUCAUGGUGAUAGAGACCGGUUCUGAUGAGAGGGCACCCGUCAUCUUAAGGAGGCCAUUCCUGAACACCUCAGGAGCUGUCAUCUACGCUAGUGCUGCCAAGAUCAGUGUCUACAUCAAGGGAAGGAAGGAGACGUUUACCUUCAAGAAUAAGACUACACAAAUCUCAGAGCAAUCCCGACAUGAAACAAGGAAGAGGACCAACAGGAGGAACAUGAACAAGCAAAUGUGGACCAAGUCAGCAAAGAUGGUCACUGCAGUUCAAGGAGGUCAAGAUCGUCGACUUAAGUCACCGUUCCUAACCAAAAAGGACGACCCAAGUAUGCCAAGCAUCCAGUGCUCCAUUGAUGGAUACAACUUCCAGAAGAUGCUUUGCGACACCGGGUCAGGCGUCGACAUAAUGGCCGCCAGUCACCUAUCACCUCCUAUUCGGAACCAUGCCCCUAAAACCAACAUACAUUCAGCUUCAGAUGGCAGAUCAAACAUUCUGAAAGAUUGAAGGUUAUUGACAUGGGAGAAGACGAGUACGAUCCACCCAUCAUCCUUGGAAGACCGUUCUUUAGCACCAUUAAAGCAAUCAUAUACAUUGGAACCAGAGAAGUCCACAUGCACUUCCCCUCAAAGAAGGUACGCCACUGUUUUACUGACCCUAACUAUAUAGUUGAAGACUCUAAGCAGGUCAGGACAAGAAGACGACGACGCAACCGCAACCAGAGGAGGCAAAUCAUCAAGGACGGAUGGGUAGACUAUGAAGGAGAAGUUGUAAGGUCUGAAGACAUAGAACUUGAACAGAACUGUCCUGAGGAGACCGUAGCACCGAGUCAGGUGUGGAGAGAGAAGAUAGUUAUACACGAAGACCAGGCACCGCCGGAACCACCGACUACGCCAUCCACCGAAUCCCAGGACGAUUGAGAAAACAGAGAGUCUCGUUCGGAGGACUUAAAAACACCGAACGCCUUGCCAAGAGGUAAACUUGGUAGUUAUCCUUUUCCUUUCAAUUAUUUAAAAUAGUUUGUUUAGUUAAUCAGGUUCAUGCUAUCUUGAAAAGAAAAUAAAAAUGUUAAAAAUAGUAAGCCCCAUGUGAGUAUGCUCAUGGCAUAAAACCCAUAAGUACAUUCACUGUGGUGGCGUAAAAAUAAAUAUAUAUAUUCCUGUCCUAUAAAAAUGAAAAUAUAAAAAUAAAUUUAUGAUCCUACUAAAGAGAGUAACAUUUAUUGAGGAGGCUCAACAUGAUAAAGGCUAGAUAUUUAUGCUAACACUUAACUAGUUCCACAAAGCUUUGUUGUCUAUUUGAGCUCCACAGAAUUAAAGGAUCAAAGAAGACUAGUAGACGGAGGACAUCCUAAUCAAUGUCAGGGUGCUGCCGACAUUCAAAUACACCUCCGCCACCUGCUACAUCAAAAGGAAUUACGUCAAAAUCCAGCUUGGGGGAGAGCACCUCCAUUUAUCCAGCUAAGUAUUCUACUCACGUUUAUAUUUUACUCAAAUAAUAAAAAGAUGCAUAAUCAUAAAAACCCAAAUAAAGAUUUUGUGCUUAUAUAUGUAUCUUUGCUUAGUUUGCUAAAUAAAUAAAUAAAUAAAAAUUGCUAUGAAUCCUCAUGAUAAGCUCUCACAUGGAAAUGAUGUAUAGUUGCUCUGCCAUGACUAGUUCUAAAAAUUGAAAUCUCUCUCAAGUUUAGGCAUGAUUGUUAUUAAUUAAGAUUUGCUCUAAACCUGAACUUGUGGGGAGAGUACUUGAUCUAAAGUCUAAGUUGUUAACGGAUACGAUAUGGGAAGGUUGAGCUGCUGUUUAUCUGUUUCUAGAGAUGCUAGAAUUCUGGAGAAUUUUAUCUUUGAAAAUCUUUAAAAUAUUACAUGAUGAGUUCCUGUAUGAUGAGAGUUUAAAUUCCUACCACAGCCAUAUAUACAUGCUUGCUAGACUAUGAACCACACAUUUACUUUACUACUUAUGAGCAUUGAGUGUGGUCAAGCUGUGUAGACCCUUAGGAGCUUGUCAUGUGGUUAAAAUCAAGAUUCACUUGCACGUUCACUCAUACAUGCUGCUUCUACUCCGGAAGUACGCAUCCACAUAUAUCCAUCCAUUUCCAUCUCCAGAACCGCCCAAAAAUAUUCUACUCCUAAUCCGGGAGAGAAUAGCCAAAAAUAUUUCUAUUUUUCCCCUGUGAAAUAAAUGCUCAAGUUAUCUUGUUACUACCGCUUGCUAUAUUAUCUCAUGAGAUGAGUGCUCUAAUAAAAAAAGAGAGAAAAAAAGAGAAAAAAAAGAGAUACGAGGAAAUAAAAAGGGGCAAGUGCCCGGAACCUCGAAAGAAAAGAAAAAGUAAGACGAGAGGUAAAAAUAGACAAGUGUCCGACAGUAGAAUUAGGGGUACAAGAUACCCACCUGAGAGAAGAAAAAGAAAAAAAAUAUAUAGAGCAUCUCAUUCUCCUCAAAAAGUUUCAAAAGAGCAAGAAAGGUAUGUAUCCCCUCAAAAGAGCACAAGUAGAAUUAGACUUUCACCAUUGUUAUCACCAUCAUCACCAUACACCAUUCAUUCGCCACACAUGCACAUCUUGAUUUGACUUAUUGACUUGUUCUUCUGGAUCCAUGGUUUGACUAUGCAAUAAAUGUCUUGUAAGUAUGUAUUAGCUGUCUCCCACCUAUGAGCUCCAGAUAUCAAAACCUUAUUAGAGUAGGGUGAGAGAGAAGGCAAUGCCACUAUGCUUCAUACCAAAAAUACCACAUACUUUGAGAGAAGGCAUACACCAUUACUGCCUUGGUAAGGAUCCAGAAAUACCAUAAAAGAGAGACUAGAGAGAGUCAUACAAGGAAUCUCUGAGUUUUAUUUGAAAAUCUGCAAAAACUCCAGAGCUAUAGCUGAUCAAGAAUAAGAGACAUGGUGCUUGACUAGACUGUUCUAUCUUUUAACUACUCAAGACAGAAGUGACGGUUACAAGUCCCAUGGUGAAAGGUAAAUGAGUAAGUUUUAAGUCUUAAUAGUUUACUCUAACCAGAGAUGAGAUCUUGUUUAAACGCAUGUGUAUCUUUAAGUUAUGAAACCACUGCAGAAACUCUUGAGUUCAUCUUUGCUCAGGGACGAGCAAAGGUUAAGCUUGGGGGAGCUUGUUGACGGUCCUUAAUGCUCACAUUUAACCAUCAACUAAUCAUAGAAAAGGAUCCAAAUACAAUCAACACCUAGACUUAGGGUUUUAUCUGACAGAAUUCCACGAGUUUUGGUGUUUGUCUAUUUCUGCAGGGGGUUAUCAGGAAAUAAGGAAGAAAGGCCCACACGUCGGGUUUACAUAGAGAUAUUAACGUGCCGCGCAAUUUUCUACCAUCUAGAAGACUCCAGAAGCCACGGGAACGAACGGGAGACGUAACGGAGCCGGGCACUGGGCGCCCGCCCUCCCUUACUGGGCGCCCGCCCUCCCCCCUGGACCAAUCAGGGUGAAGUUCGGGGAUCAUGCUCCACCGACCUAAUACUUCAAGGAAAAUCACACGAUCAAUGUCGGUUUCAUCCGACGGCCCAGAUUCACUUGAAGGGACUAUAAAACCAGACCCCCUGGUCCCUGGAGAUCAUACCUCUUCUACAGAAUCAAAGCUAGGGUUUCAAUUCUUCAUCCAAGUAGAGAGGAUCCCUCUAGUUCUUCUAGUUCUACCUCUAGUUCAUCCAGAUCUAGUUCUAGUUCAUCUAGUUCUAGUUCUAGUUCCUCUAGUUCUAGUUCUAGUUAGUUCUAGUUGUAAUCUAGAAAAUAGGGAGAGAGAAGAGGAGAGCGGAGGAGGAGCCGGAUCUGUCGGAUCUUCCUCAACAUUAUACUUUUGCAGCAACUGGUUCAUUCUUCAUCGUUCUCCAGGUUCUUCAAUUCAUAAUUCCUGAGUUCUUUAAUUACUUUUAUUUACAUUCAAGUUAUUUAUUGGAUUCCCGCUUGCAUCAAGUGCUCUAGUCUUUAUAACGCUAGAGUAGUAAUUAAUAGAUUAGACGUGGUGUUUAGUCUUGCGAUUACCUGGAAUUGCACCCAAUCCUGCGGAUUGUUGUGGUAGCCUUAGGGUAGUGACAGCCCUAACGGUCGACGUAUUCCACCACGUUCGGAUCGGUGUUUGUAGGACCGUAAUCAGACCUUCUUAGCCCCCUUCUCAUCUCUUUCUGUUUUUAGUGCUCUGAUGUCCCGAUAUAGAUAAUCUUGAAGUAAUUCUUGAUUCUUAGAUCAACUAGAGAACUCUCAGGAAACUUCCUCUCUUCCCACCAAAAAUAAUUAUAUAGUUAUCUUUGGGCGAUUUUGGAUCUUAAUUAGUACACUCACGUUCUCUGUGGAAAAUCGAUACUCUGGAAUACUCCCAGGUGAAGGCUACAUCGUUAUCCGUGCGCUUGCGGAUUUUUCUGUUUGCGUUUAAAAUACCCAACAAUGGAUACUGUUGUAGAUUUUACCCGGUUAAAGGUUUUAUCGUAUCCACAGAAAAACGGAAGAACCAACUACGCUCUAACUUAACCAAGAUAGAUAGAUAAGUGUAAAUAGGAAAGAUGGUAGAAUUGAAUAAGAACAAUAUUAAAGGUAAGAUAACAGUGAGUGAUAAUAUAGGAAUAGAGAGUAGAGCAAUCUAAUAUAUGGGCGAUGGUAUCAGAAUAGAGAGGAUAACUAUGGUUUCUCUACUUCAAAGGGGUAUGUCUAUGUCUGGGACGAACCACGUGAUAAGAAUACACCACAAAGGAUGCUUAUCCAUAGGCCGAUAAACCCUACCCGUCCUGCUAACAAGAGGUGGACUACAGGGGACCAACGUAACUAUCACCUACGCGACCUACCACACGAUCCAGCUAGACAGGGGAUAUCCACAAGUAAUCUAGGUCUAAGCACCACGCUUACACCUAUACUACAACUCUAACCUAUAGGGUCCUAUAGAUUAGAAGUACUCAAAAGAGUUGUGAACCAGAACAUACAUUAUUAGUAAUUGCAUAAUGAAUUAGAAGUAGAUUACCAGAGUCAUCCCAUGAGCAAGCUUGAUUAGAGCUUGAUCAUGACGAAGUACAACCGGAGGAAGAACCGACAGGCCGGCCUCUCCUCUAAUCCUCCUUCGCUCUCCAUCUCGCUACUAUCUAGAUCUACUCUAGUUUAGAGAUGAGAGGAGAGCUCUCAUCUCUAAACCCUAGCUUUUGCUCUAUCUAUGAAUAAUGAAUAAUGAUCAAGGGGUGCCUCCUCUAGUGGCCAGGGGGUCUGCUUAUAUAGUCCCCUCAAGUGAAUCUGGGCCGUCGGAUCAAACCGACAUUGAUUGAACGGUUAUUCUUGAUCCUUUAGGUCGGUGGAGCAUAAUCCCCGAAGAGAGUCCUGAUUGGACUCUGGGACAGGGCGGGCGCCCAAGGGGGGAGGGCGGGCGCCCUGCCCCCGAGCCCGCUCGGUCUCCUGUUCGUUCCCGUGGCUUCUAGAGUCUUCUAGAUGAUAGAAAAUUGCGCGGCACGUUCAUAUCUCUAUGUAAACCCGACAUGUGGGCCUUUCCUCCAUAUUUCCUGAUAACCCCCUGCAAAAAUAGACAAACACCAAAACUCGUGGAAUUCUGUCAGAUAAAACCCUAAGUCUAGGUGUUGGUUGUAUUUGGAUCCUUUUCUUUAUUUAUUUGCUGAUUAUAUUUGGUACUUAAGGAUCGUCAACAGGGGGUUCUUUGGAAGUUGCUCCUUGGACGCUUUUCUUUGAUGGAUCUACAUGUGAUCAAGGUGCAGGUAUCAGUAUCAUAUUAAUUUCACCCUGAGGGAAGAGAUAUGAGUUUUCAUUGCCGAUUGUUGCUACACCGAAAAACAAUCAGCCUGAGUAUCAAGCUUUGGUGAAAGGGUUGGAAUUAUUCAGAGAAAUACGUGCUGAUGCUGUUGAAAUCUUUGGUGAUUCUAUGCUUGUGAUAAAUCAAUUAAUUGGGAUUUAUGAAUGCCGAAGUGAAGUUUUAAUUUCAUAAUAUGAAAGAUGCUUACAAUUGUUGAAGGAAUUUAAAGAUUUCUGUUUGGAACAUAUUCCCCGAUUACAUAAUGAAGAAGCUAAUAGGUUAGCUCAACACGCCUCGGGAUAUCAACCGAUCCCAGGGGUGCUCACGUCAGCAGUUGAUGCCGAUGACUGGAGAAGAAAAAUUACCGAUUACUUAAGAAACCCGUCUAAGAAAGUUGAAAGACGCAUUAGGUUUCAAGAUACUAAGUAUGUGCUUCUUGACGAUGAAUUGUAUUAUCGUACUUUGGAUGGAGUUUUGCUCAAAUGUCUUGGUAAUGAAGAAUCAAAAAGCUUGAUGGGUGAGAUUCAUGAGGGAGUAUGUGGAGCACAUUAGUCGGCUUUCAAGAUGAAAUGGAUGAUCAGAAGGAAUGGCUAUUAUUGGUCGACUAUUCUUGAAGAUUGUUUUAAGUAUUUCAAAGGAGCCAAGGGUGUCAAAAGUUUGGAAAUAUUCAAAGGGCACCUGCAUCAACCAUGAACCCUAUCAUUAAACCCUGGCCGUUCCGAGGAUGGGCUAUUGAUCUUAUCGGUCAAAUUUAUCCACCGUCAAGCAAAUGGCAUAAAUUUAUACUCGUUGCCACCGAUUAUUUCACUAAGUGGGUUGCAGCAAUUUUUUUGAAAAAGGUGACAUCAGCCAAUAUGAUCCAUUUUGUAAGGGAGCAUAUUGUUUACCGAUUUGGUAUUCCUCAGACAAUCACUACCAACCAGGGCACUAUGUUUACAUCUGGAGAAUUUGAUGAAUUUGCAAUCGGUAUGGGAAUUAAAAUUUUAAAUUCUUCUCCUUAUUAUGCUCAAGUUAAUGGGCAGGCCGAAGCUUCUAACAAAGGGAUCAUUAAACUCAUUAAUUGUAAAAUUGAGGAAAACCCUAAAUGGUGGCAUAUAGUGUUAAAUGAAGCGCUAUGGUCAUAUCGGAUGGUGUGUCAUGGUGCAACUAAAAUAUCGCCUUAUCAGUUGGUAUAUGGGCACGAUGCAGUAAUACCUUGGGAAAUUAAAAUUAACUCUAGGUGGAUAUUUUCUCAAGAUCAGUUAGCUCCCGAUGAUUAUGAUAUUCUGAUGAAGGAUGAGCUAGAGGAUUUGGCAGGUCAUCGGUUGAAAGCUCUGGUUAGCAUUGAGGAAAAUAAUAAGAGAGUAGCCAGGUGGUAUGACAAAAGGGUAAGAGCCAAAGAGUUUGCCAAUGGAGAUUUAGUUUAGAAGUUGAUUCUACCGAUUGGGACUAAAAGUUCAAAGUUUGGUAAAUGGUCUCCUAAUUAGGAAGGUCCUUAUCGGAUAAGUCGAUCUGCUCCUGGUAAUGCAUAUAUCUUAGAAACCCUCGAAGGGGUUGAAUUUCCCAAAGCAUUAAAUGGAAAGUAUUUAAAGAAAUACUACCCAAGUAUUUGGGUUGACGCAUAAAAGUUUAAGUGCCGAUAACAAUCCUAUCGGCUGGACAAAAGUCUUAGAGUUCUAAAGAGUACUGGUGCAGCAUACUAUCGAUAAAGAAAUUUAUAGGUUUAGCAAAGAUUGGAUAGUCGAUAUCGCGUGCAGGCGAAUCUGGUUGGCUUCCUCUAUCUCCUUAGUGUCUUCGUUGGUUGAGCCCUCAACUGGUUUGAGUUUCUUCUUCACCAGUAGAGCUUUGCGGGCUUGGGUGUCCCUCUCUUGCUAAGGAUUCUUGAUUGUAUCGGGCAACUGACUUUAUUCUUGUUCCGCCUGUGUCAGUGCUUCUUCAACUUGCUUGAGUUCAGCUAGCAGAGCUUCUUUCUUUGCUGAUAGAUCUAAGAUCUUCUACUUUAACUCGAUGCUUGAGGCUUGCAAAUUGCCGAUGCUCUUAUGCUUUUCAUCUGCGAUGUGUUUCACUUGCAGCAUUUCUUCUUUGAGUAGAGCCUGGGCAGCCCUAUCGGCAAUAUCUUGAGCGGCCUUUUGAUAUUGAAGCUAACGACUUUCUAAGUGAGCAGCUUGAAACAGUGCUUCUUCGGCAUCGGUAGGAACUUGGCCGUGGACUGCUUUGAAAAUGACUUUUGCUGAGUCUGAAUCAUCCACUAGCUGGGCUGUAUCUUGGUGUAUCAAGUUCAAAGAUUCUUCUAGCUUGGAUUUGACUUCCGCCGAUACUGAGCCAAGUGCCAAUGAAGAACUUGCUUCUUCUUCUUCUUCAUCGGAGAUGUCGAUGACAAAGUAAAACAGGCUAUCGGGAGAGUCUUGUUCCUGAGGAAAGAAAAUGAGUCAGUUAAAGGCAAUGUGAGUGAUGCAAAUCGGUUAAGUCAGAUAGCUUAGUUGUUUCAAGGCAAUCUCUUGCCUUUGGCUGGAAGACAUAACCUAGGUUGUACUCUGGUGAGGAAUGACUAGGUCUGCCGAUGGGAUUUCUUCAACUGCAAAAUCGGUUAAUGCUGAGAAUAAUGACAAUUUCUUUGAAAUACAAUAGCCGAUAUUAUACCUUGUGUGGAAGCAAUAGUCGUUUGCUCAGGAGCGACGACCGAUGACGUGCCUUGGUCGGACGAGUCAAUUGUUUGCUCAGGUGCAUCGGCCAGUUCAGAUUGACUGGGAAGCACUGACUAAGGUGGAGAGGAUGGUGUCACUUUCUGCCGCUUUGGCUGGGUCUUAGUGCAUGUCGGAGCCUUCCGCUUGGGUUGUGCUUUGGUGGCUGCUGGCUGGGGGGCAUCGACACCCGAUGGAUGAACAUCUUGAGCUCUUACCGAUGCACCGGUUUGUUGCUACAGAACGCACGUGAAGCAUGAUGUCUUAUAAGUCGAAUAUAAAGGCAGGGAAAUACCUGUGAAAGUUCAUUAAGAGUAGUAGUAUCUGGGUGCGGGAGGUGUUACCGAUUAUGUCCUAGUUAUGGCCGAUACGCCCUGAAAAUAUGGUAUAAGUAUGAACUGAAAUCUGCAUGAUUCAAAUUAACUAAGGUUGUUACCUUAAAAGCUUGUGCCAGGGUAGCGGCGCAACCGAUGGAGUGGCUUUUGAGCGCUUAGUAGUCAUUUUCUUGAAGCGGACUCCUCGAUGCAUCAGAGCUACCAGAGUGGGGGCAUUAUGACCGAUGGGAGAAACAUGAGACACUGGUCGGAGAUCAAAUGGUCGCUCACUUUUGCUCAUUGCUGGUGUUGGAUCAUCGACCUGUCAAAUGAAAGAGUUAGUUACCGAUGAAAUUAAAGAUGAAGAAAAGACCAAGUGUUGGGGGAAGACAUACUGUGUCAUCAGGGAUAUCGUGCUCGAAGUCAAUCAUGUGCCAAUAUAUAUGAGCUGAUGUUGCAAACAGUUGCCCUUUCCAUUCUUGCCACCAUAAUUUAUAAGAUUCAGUAAUGAAGGAGGCCGAUACCCAGGUAGACAGAUUGAUAUCUAUAGUAUCGGCAUUGGGAGGAAGUUGAGGUAUCUUGAUCCAGUCAAGACCACUGGUGAUUGUCUCCCUUGGCUUGAUCAUAUAGGCAUAACAAAGCCUAAUCGGUAGUUGAUCGAAGCCAGUUGAUGGGCUAGUGCCGAUGGGUUGUAAAAUUUAUAAGUGAUGCUGGUACUUUUCCCACUACUAAAUGUGUUCAUUAGGAUUGCCCGGGGAGUAAUGAUAGCUAUCAUUAUAUCAUUGUCCUUAUUCAGUGCUUCAUCGGCAAGAUUGAAGAGCAAGGGGAAUCUGGAUUCCUCGUUGAUGUAGGGCAUCCAAGCCCGAUGCUCACGGGAGAGGCCAUUGUAGAAAGUCUGAAAAAAUCUACCUAUCUGAUUUCAUUUGCUUCAGUCCCAGGAAGGACUAUGAUUGCUUCACCAAAGUUAAGGGGCGGACAGGUUGCCGAUUCAUCAUCUGCCAGCUCAUGAUCUUCGGUGAUGUCCCAUGGGAAUUGUUGACUGAAGAAAUCCCACUACAGAUGCUUGUGCAUAUGAGCGUUUAGCCACAUGUUGAUGAACCACCACGGGCCUCCCAGAUUGCUGAUGGGUUCACCAAGCAAGAGCUUCUUAGCUAGUUGGUGGAGGAGAAGGUAGGUGGAGCUUAGGAGGUAUCGGCCAAGAGGGAAUCUAGAAUCGUUGGCUAGUGACUUGGCUGCUGCAAGAUAGACGUAGAUUGGCCCUACCGAUCGACCGCAGAAAAUGAACUUGUCCAACCACAUAUUGAAGAAUAUAGUGUGUUCUCUCUGGCUAACCGAUCCAGUUUUCUGAUAUUCUUGGAUGUAUCCUGUCUAGCCACCGAUGUUGCGAGUGUUUACGUUAUACUCGGACUUUCUGUUGAAAAGCCUACCGUCAUCGGUAGUUGAAAUAUCCAAGCCCAUGAGCAUGUACACAUCGGCAAGGGUAGGAGCAGCUGGGCCAUGACCGAACAUGAAAGCAUUAAGGGUUUCUAACCAGAAAUAAGUAGCUGCUAUCAUCAUCGACUCAUUUUUCUCCAUAUUGGCAAUGGAGAGCCUGAUGCACUGAUAUAGAUUGUGUUCUGCCUAGUACACUUCAUUAGAUCCGCUAACCCUCAUGAACCAGUUUUUCCAUCCCUUGGUGGUUUUGGGCCAGGAUUGGAAAGUAUCCUUCCACAGAUCUAGGGAAAAAUUCUCAGCUCCAAAUGAGAUUCUAUUGGUUUCUGUGUUUAUCAGAUCGGUUGGAUCUAGGUUGCCCAUCGGGCCCAAGCAUUGGAUAUGUGGCUGAUUGGUUGGGAUAACUAUUUUAUCGCUCAGAUCCUAAGUUUAAAAGAUCAAAGAGAUAGAGGUAAAGAAAAGAAAUUGCUAAGUAUAUGAACUUGCGAAUGUAACCGGAACUGCAGUAAAAGAGGGUGAAUACGGGAUUGACCUCAGGAACGUUGAAGUUGAUCGCCAUUUCUUCUAAGCAGGAUGAAGGUGAGGCCGAAAACUUGAAGAUUCUACCGAGGGAGGUUCUUGAUGGUUGAGAUUGCGUACUUGUUCGUCAAGAUCGCCGCCGGAGAAGGUAGGUCUUGAGAGAUGAAGAUGGCAAGGUAGAAGAUUGCUGGGUAUUCUUAACAUCAUUACCAAAAGUAGACUUAGUUUUCUAAAUCUGAUAACGGUGCCAAAAGUGCCAAACCUAUCUCCCAUGCCACUUAAGCCAAGUUGUCAUCCCCAGCAUGACAUGAAAGGCACGGUAUUGAAAUAUGCAAUUGCUCUUCUAAAUAAAUAAUGAAUGGGAUCUACAAGCGCACAGAUUAAUACCGAUGUAGCAUUUUAACCGGGAAGUAUUCCAGGUAUCGUUAUUUAUAUUUUUACCACUGGGAAGGGAUUAACAAUCAUCAAUAUUGAAUAUAAAAUGGAAUAUGAGAUUGAGUAUCUAUCAUUGCAUGUAUAAUUGAGAACAUUGUAUCUAAUUGUUUCAUACAGGGGUAAGUGUCACAUAAAGGAUAUACGAAGUAAUGAAUAGUGACAAAGAUAAUUAAUCUGAUCAGCAUAACUUAGCCACAUAAUAAAUAUGAUAAGCACCCCAAUUAGAUAUUCUAGAAAGUCAUUAGCAUGGUAUUAGAACGAACUACAAGAAUAUUUCCUAAGUUAUUCUCAACUAUAUAGUCUAGCAUUAUCAUAGUUAGUGCAAGCAUACUUAGCAAUCAUUGUGAGACAAGACUACGCCCAUGCAUAGUGAUAUUAGCAAGGUAAAUGAGAAACAUAGCAAUCACUCCGCUGUAAUAAUGUUGCUCUGCCAGCCCAAUACACGAGAGGGGGACUAUAUAAGAAUCAAUGAAGCUGUCACUAUCACGAACUACCCCACGUUCUGGCAUAUUGGGUACAACCGCAGAUAAAUACGGUAUAAGCACCACGCCUACACAAUAUCUAUCAUUUACCCAUGGAUCCGAUGGAUAAACGCUAUACGAUCCUAAACAUGUAUAUAGAUCCAAUCUAACUUAGCCAAGUAUAUAACUAUGAUAGACUAAGAACAAUAUAAUCUUGAAUAUAAACAAGUAGAGCAAAGUCAUAAGCAAUAUAUUGAAGUAGAACAAAGUCAUAUUCAUAAUAUUAAAGAACAAAGAUGAUUAGAAGAAUAAUUAGAAGAACAAUUAGAGAAUUACCAAGAAUCGUCUUGACAGAUCCGGAAACCAAUCGAAGAUUGACUCCUUCUAGUUCUAAUCCUAUGUAGCUAUGCUAAUCUAGAUAUCUAAUUGAUGUGGGGGCUCUAAUCUUGAUCAGAGGCUUCUUCUCCCUUGAGGAAUAAUGAAUUAGGGUUGAGAGGCUCUCUCUUCCAGGGGCCAGGGGGUCUGGUUUUAUAGUCCCUUCAAGUGAAUAUGGGCCGUUGGAUCAAACCGACAUUGAUUGAACGGUUAUCCUUGAUCCUUUAGGUCGGUGGAGAUCUUUCCCGAAAGAGAGUCCUGUUUGGACUCCAGGAGGGGGCGGGCGCCCAGGUCAACUGGGCGGGCGCCCAGUGCCUGGCCCCGUUCGGCCUCCGCUUCCUUCCCGUGGCUUCUGGAGUCUUCUAGAUGUAAGAUAAUUGCGCGGCACGUUGAUUUCUCUAUGUAAUCCCGACGUGUGGGCCUUUCUUCCGUAUUUCCUGAUAACCCCCUGCAGAAAUAGACAAACACUAAAACUCGUGGAAUUCUGUCUGUUAAAACCCUAAGUCUAGAUGUUGAUUUCAUUUGGAUCCUUUUCUUUGUUUAUUUGAUAAUUAAAUUUGAUACUUAAGGACCGUCAACAAACUCCCCCAAGCUUACCUCUUGCUCGUCCCUGAGCAAGGAUAAUCUCAGCAAUGGAUCAGAAGUUGUUGCAAUACCUUUAAAAAAUUGACGGUACACAUGCUUUUAAAUAAGAUCUCAUCUCUGAGUUAGAGUAAACUAUCAAGACUUAAAACUUACUUACUUUACCUUUCACCAUGGGACUUGUAACCGUCACUUCUGUCUUGAGUAGUUAAAAGAUAGAACAGUCUAGUCAAGUGCCAUGUCUCUUAUUCUUGAUCAGCUAUAGCUCUGAAGUUUUUGCAGAUUUUCAAAUAAAACUCAGAGAUUCCUUGUAUGACUCUCUCAUAUAUCUCUUUUGUGGUAUUUUGGAUCCUUACCAAGGCAGUGAUGGUAUAUGCCUUCUCUCAAGAUAUGUAGUAUUUGUGGUAUAAGGCAUAGUGACAUUGCCUUCUCUCUCAUCUUACUCUAAUAAGGCUUUUAUAUCUGGAGCUCAUAGGUGGGAGAUAAAAUAUACAUACUUACAAGACAUUUAUUGCAUAGUCAAACCAUGGAUCCAAAGAAAUAAAUCAAUAAGUCAAAUCAAGAUGUGCAUGUGUGGCGAAUGAAUGGUGUAUGGUUAUGAUGGUGAUAACAACGGUGAAAGUCUAAUUCUACUUUUGCUCUUUGAGGGAAUACAUACCUUGCUAUUUGAAACUUUUGUAAGGAGAAUGAGAUGCCCUAUAUUUUCUUUUUCUUUCCUCUCAGGUGGGUAUCUUGUACCCCUAAUUCUACUGUCGGACACUUGUCCAUUUUUACCUCUCGUCUCACUUUUUCUUUUCUUUCGAGGUUCCGGGCACUUGCCCCUUUUUAUUUCCUCGUAUAUUUUUUUAGAGCACUCAUCUCAUAAGAUAAUAUAGCAAGUGGUAGUAACAAGAUAACUUGAGCAUUUAUUUCACAGGGGAAAAACAGAAAUAUUUUUGGCAUUUAUUUCAUAGGAGUAGAAUAUUUUUGGGUGGUUCUGGAGAUGGAAUGAGUGGAUAUAUGUGGAUGGUACUUCCAGAGUAGAAGUAGCAUAUGUGAGUGAACGUGCAAGUGAAUCUUGAUUUUAACCACAUGACAAGCUCCUAAGGGUCUACAUAGCUUGACCACACUCAAUGCUCAUAAGCAGUAAAUAGUAAAUGUGUGGCUCAAAGUCUAGAAAGCAUGUAUAUAUGGCUGUGGUAGGAAUUAAAACUCUCAUCAUACAGGAACUCAUCAUGCAAUAUUUUAAAGAUUUUCAAAGAUAAAAUUCUCCAGAAUUCUAGUAUCUCUAGGAAUAGAUAAACAGCAGCUCAACCUUCCCAUAUCAUAUCCGUUAACAACUUAUACUUCAGAUCAAGUUUUCUUCCCACAAAUUUAGGUCUAGAGCAAGCUUUAAAUUAUAACAGUUAUGUCAAAACUUGAGAGAACUUCAAAUUUGAAAAUUAGGCAGAGCAACUAUUCAUCAUAUCCAUGCUAGAGUUUUAUCAUUAAGAUUUAGUUUAGCAUAGCCACUUUAUUAUUUAUUAAGCAUACUAAGUAAAAGAUAUAUAUAUAUAUAUAUAUAUAUAAGCACAAAAUCUUUAUUUGUUUUUUCAUAGUUAUGUAUAUUUAUAUUUUAAUAUAAUAUAAGUAUAAAGAUAGAUAAAAAUACUUAGCGAGAUAAAUAGGGGUGCUCUCCCCCAAGCUGAAUUUUGACGUAAUUUCUCUUGAUGUAGCUAGCAGGUGGCAGAGGUGUAUUUGAAAGUCGGCAGUGUCUUGACAGCGAUUAGAAUGUCCUCCGUCUGCUAGUCUUCUUGAUUCUUAGACUCUGUGGAGCUCAAAUAGACAACAAAGCUUUGUGGAACUGAUUAAGUGUUAGCAUAAAUAUCUAGCCUUAUCAUGUUGAGCCUCCUCAAUAAAUAUUACUCUCUAUUUUUAUAUUUUCGUUUUAUAAAGCAGAAAAAUAUUUAUUUUAUUUUUAUGCCACCACAGUGAAUGUACUUACGGGUUUUUAUGCCACUCGUAUACUCACAUGGGGCUUACUUUUUUUUCAUUUUUAUUUUCUUUUUAGGAUAGUAUGAACAUGAUUAACUAAGCAAAGUAUUUUAAAUAAUUGAAAGGGAAAUGAUAACUACCAAGUUUACCUCUUGGCAAGGCGUUCAAUGUUUUUAAGUCCUCCGAACGGGACUCUCCGUUUUCUCAGUUGUCCUAGGAUUCGUUGGGUGGCGGAGUCGGUACUUCCGGCGGCGCCUCUUCUUCAUGUAUGGUUAUCUUCUCUUUCCACACCUGACUCGGUGCUACGGUCUCCUCUGGAUAAUUCUGUUUAAACUGUACGUCUUCUGACUUUACAACUUCUCCUUCAUAGUCUGCCCAUCCAUCCUUGAUGAUUUGCCUCCUCUGGUUGCGGUUGCGUCGUUUUCUGACCUGCUUAGAGUCUUCAACGAUAUAGUUAGGGUCAGUAAAAUAGCGGCGUACCUUCUCUGAGGGGAAGUGCAUAUGGACUUCUCCAGUUCCAAUGUAGAUGAUUGCUUUAACGGUGCUGAGGAACGGUCUUCCAAGGAUGAUGGGUGGAUCGUACUCGUCUUCUCCCAUGUCAAUAACUGGAAAGUCUGUGUAGACAAAAUGAUCGUCUAUUUUAACUGGGACAUCAGUUACUGUUCCUUUAACCUCUCGAAACGUCUGAUCUGCCAUCUGGAGCUGAAUGUAUGUUGGUUUUAGGGGCAUGGUUCCGAACAAGAGCCGAUAGGUGACUGUGGCCAUUAUGUUGACGCCCGAUCCGGUGUCGCAAGUCGUCUUGUAGAAGUUGUAUCCAUUUAUGGAGCAAUAGAUGCUUGGCAUUCCUGGGUCGUCCUUCUUGGUCAAAAAUAGUGACUUAAGUUGAUGAUGUUGACCUCCAUGAACUGCAGUGACCAUCUUAGCUGACCCGGUCCACACUUGCUUGUUCCUGUUCCUUCUGUUGGUCCUCUUCCUUGAUUCACAUCUGGAUUGAUCUGGAAUUUGUGUAGUCUUGUUCUUGAAGGAAAACGUCUCCUUCUUCCCUUUGAUGUAGAAACUGAUCUUGGCAGCACUAGCGUAGAUGACAGCUCUCGAGGUGUUCAAGAAUGGUCUCCCUAAGAUGGUAGGUGCUCUCUCAUCACUACCGGUCUCUAUCACCACGAAGUCUGCUAGGGCAUAUAAGGUACCAACUCGGACGCAAUGGUUCUUCAAUAUACCUUUUGGAAAACUUAUUGUCUGAUCUACAAACUGCAAACACAUG
This 82914-nucleotide long non-coding RNA is filed under the name Sorghum bicolor (sorghum). RNAcentral describes it as "long non-coding RNA (SBIC_LNC003287)". The record is from RNAcentral. Lineage: Eukaryota; Viridiplantae; Streptophyta; Magnoliopsida; Poales; Poaceae.